GAAUGAUAGGAACCUAAUUGUGAAUUGCCUUAGCACAGAAGAUAAACAAAAAAAAUGUUUAUUUGAUUUUCCUCACCUUUAAUCAAUCAAAAAUAAUAAACCCAGAAAAGUUCAUGAUGAUGUGUCAUGUUGUUAACACAUGUUCCCUAACUUUCCAAGCUGGAACGUCUUAGAAAUCAAGCCAUUAAAAUCUAGCCACGUAUAGCAAACGGAGACAAGUGUACUUCCUACUUUCCAACAACAAAGUCAACCCAUCUACUGCAAUCCUGAACUGACAAAUGUCCUCUUCCCGCAGCAAGCAAGUGUGCUUCUUUUAUCUGCAGUAGCAUUGUAACAAGGCAAAACCAAAGAAAUCUGAGUCAUUGAAAAUCAGGUGCUGUAGUCCAUCCACCUCUAUCUAACAUUACCCAAACUGGUCAAAUAUUAUCUUAUUAUAUAAUCUCAAUCUUACUGAGAUUUUGCCUUGAAGUCAAAUCAAAUUGCUGCUGCUGCUGCUUGCUUGUUUGCUUUGCUUUCCAGUUUUCACCUUUCUUCUUUCACUUCCCAAACUACAAAAAGAAAAUCUAGAAGAAGUGAUGCUUUUCCGCCCUCAUAUUGAAUAUGGGUGCUGCUUGCUUUCUCAUCGUAAGGAGUCACUCCUGUUAAUCACAGUUUAACACAUAUAUAAAAAUAAUUUAUUAAAAAUAUCAUACUGCUAUUAACAGGAAUAUAAGAAUUCCUACUUAUAUAAUAAAAAAGAAAAAUGUUUUAUAUUAAAUAUUCAUAUCUCGAUAUAAAAGGUCAUUUAUUUUCAAUUCUGUGAUAUCAGCUGUUGAACUUCGAGAAUAAGUAGUUCAUAAGAUCAGCUCAUACGCUAUCAAUAUUAUAUAUUCCAUGUCCCAAAAUAGUUUAAUUGUUAAGCAAACCAUAAUUGUUAUCUAUGUCUCCCUGUUUGCUGUCUACAGGACACACACACAUAUAUAUCAUUUAAUUUAUUUGGAUCAGCAAUGAAGCUUUUAGAAACUUUAAUUUUAUGGCUCUGACACGUGCCCAAAUAUUAUGUAACCAUAAUAUCCAUUUUAUGUGGUCGUGGAAAGUUUUAUGCAGUGUGUGUGUGUGUGCGCGUAUCGUCACUAUAUAUAAAAAUAAUUUUUGCUUGUUGAAGGGUUUGUGAUGAUGAAUUUGAUGCAUGCCUUAUGCCUAUACGUACACAUUAUACCAGUUUAGGUAAUUACUUGUCGCAAAUCUAGGGUUGGUAGCACCUGUAUGUAUUAUAUUAAAAUUGGGUUGAAUCGUCUAUAAAAACGUUGCUAGCUAACUUGUUCUUGUUGAUGUCAGGCCUCCAAAUCUCCCAACAAACUUUGAAUAUCAAUGGCUUCUGUUUUUUAGAGAAUUAUGGGGGUACGUACUUAAUUAACAAAAUUAAAACUUCACACACACACAUAUAAUCCCUUUUUAUUAAGGGAUUCUUUAAAUAAUUUUAUUUGAUGGAUGCUUUUUAGAGUAUUCUACAAAAAAAAUUUCAACGAUCCAAAUUAUUUAUUUUUUAGGUCUUCAUUCAUAGAUCAUCCUUGCAAAAAAAAAAGAAAAAGAAAACCAUUUAGACAUAUAAUUGUGUUCUACAAAAUCAAUUAAUAUGGUGCUUCAAGAAAGUAUUAAAAUUUCAAUAAUUUAAUUGAGUAGUCAAAUAAUAUCGGAUUCAAGUGAUUUUUAAUAUAUGUAUAUGAUCGAUCGGCUUGUUUUUUUUAAUAGUUUAAAUUAAACUAAUUUACAGAGAAUAAAUUCGAACUUGAAUGCAAAAGAACUUUAAACUCACUGUCUUGAUCAACUGACCUAACCUAUAUUUAUCGAGCGGCUUGUUUCUAAAUGAGUUAGGCUCUAAGUUUUUGGUGGAUGUAAGAGAAAUAUAGAUCGACCUCUUAAUAUUCUACGCAUCCAUGCACGUAGGUGUUGAGUAUGACAACAUGAGAUCUAUAUGUAUAUUUUUGUACGAUAAAUUUGAGGAUUGAAUUACAGAUCUGAAUACAGAGAACAUGGCCGUUGACCGUUGACCCCCCUCUUGAGGGCUUAGCUGUUGUCACUUGUGUAAACACGUGUACAAGAAUUGUGGUACCAAGAUUGUAUGCGAUGCAUGGCAAAAUUACACGUAAAAUGACCGACGUUGUUGGUUGUUCAACCUUUUUUUAUUUUUCGGCCACUGUGCUUUGACUUCACUUAUAUGAUGAUGAUGUGGUACAAGUGAUAUUAAAAUUAAUGGAUUAUAUUAAUAGCUAGUGGGGAUGGAUUUAGUGCUGCAGGGAAAACCUGAUACAUGCAUGAUAUCGUCUCAAUUUUUUUUCUCUUUAUAAUCUUGAUUUCGAGUGCAUAUAUAACUGCUCUUAAUUACAUAAGUUGAUCUAAAAGCGUAUUUUUUUUAUAAAUUUAUUUAGAAUAUUGGGACCUUUAAAAAAAAAAAAAUUUUGAUUUUUGCUUCUCUAAUUUCCGUUGAUAUGCUGAAUGUAAAAGAGUUUGGACUGGGUCGAGCCCUUUUUGCUUCCAUUAACUUGGGCUAUUGAUUUAGUUUUGGGCCAGCUUCCACCAAUGCUUAGGCCCUGUCUUAAUUAUUGGGUAGGGAGCUCACUCAAACUAGAGAGCAACCUUUAAACCCAACCCAACCCAACCCACAACUAUAUGUACUCUGCCAUGACCUCUCUCUUUUUCUCUGCUACAUAACAAGGUGUUAAGCAGUUCCCAAAAUAGGUGAUGGCCAUCAUCACCCUCCAUUGAAGCCACAUCAGUUUCACUACAAUCUCGUGCGUGCCUUCAUCAAAUACACCCAUUUUGGGAAGUGUGUUUUUGGGGCUCCACAUUUUCGUUUUUGCAUUCAGUCAGGACAAAUCGUUUCAAGCUUUGAAUAUUUUCUCCUCCUAAUACAAAUGUUGCUCGAACAUUAUUGUCUGCAACAGUUGAAUUAGAUUUUCCCACGCUGAUCUCAAGCUGAUGUACUGGAUCAACAAAAUGGGCUCAUACCCUUUUCGGUCUGUGAUCAUUUCCUUUUCAUAGACUGGAGGAGAUUCAUAUACAAGAUAUAUAAGUCUCCCCUAGACUUGUGCACAUAAGCCCAACAUUUCAUGAAAUGGUUAGCAGAUCGUCCAUCCACAACGUGACGAUACGUUAUAGCAAGGCAAAUGCCAGACUUUGGAAAAAUUGUUGCUUGUAAUGCAUGAACUGAAAAUACAAAUGUGCUUGUGUCAUUGGAAACUGAAAUCAAAAUGCAUAUUAUUAUUGUUAUUAUUCAAAUCAGGCAAUUGAGGAACAAGGUGAUCAAAUUCUUUGACAUGCCUUUGGUGGUUGCCUAUAAUUAAUAAGAUGGUUGAAAUUGGCCGUGGACUCAACAAUGUCGAGUGCGACUGAAGAGUCGUUUGCGGAGUAGAGGAUGUAAGGCAUGGUGGGAGGUGGGGGACAAGUGAGGUGGCCACAGAGAGGGAAUAAGCGUUGGAGAGUGAGAGAGAGAGAGAGAGAGUGUUUGAAUGUUGGAAGGAGAGUUUGGGUGAGGGAAUUCAUAGAAGUAGAGGCGUGUAACAGGUCGGGGCAUGGAAAAAGCCAAGGCAAGUCUAAGAAAGUGAGGGGAAGAGAGGUGGGGAGAGAGACUUGGCAUUGCUCUAGGACCUUAUAAACCAACUUUCCACUAGUACAUGAAUUAAUUUCGGGUCUUAUAUGUAGGUGUGUGGUAGAGAUACGUGAAAGGUGCACCAUUAUAACAAACUCACGCGUACAACUGAAAAGAUACAAAAUAUCUCGUAAAUAAUUAAAGUUUAUUUGAGAGGGAUCUCUUGAUGAAAUAAGUUUGGGUGGGAAGGGGAUGUUGAAAGUAACAAAAUGUGAGGAAACUUCAUGGAAAGUGUCACCUUAUUUCUCAUUUUCUGACGACCUUUUUUUUUUAGGUACACAUUUUUUCUGAUAACUUUAAUUCACCAUAUUGUGUGAUAUUAACAGAUGUGUUCACAAAUGUCCAGAUCAUAUGGGAAUCUCUAACGCGGAGUCAUUAUUAGUUACCUUGAAAAAAGAAAAUCAAGAAGAAAAUCAACUCUCAAAACCAAAACCACAACCACAACCACAACAAUUGAUGACAUGUUGGAAUAUGACAUGUUGGAAUGUGGGUCCCAGCGUCCACUAAUCCCACAUCGUUUCAGCAGCAGGGCCCCACCAGAGGAUUCCCAGCGGAAUCCGACAUCAGACCACAAAUCAAAGUACCAAACAGAUGUUCCAUCUGGCAAUGCUAACCUUCAAAGUACGUUAAAGGACUUUUAGACGAAAUUAGAAGCGCUUUUCGCUCCGUAAAAGUGCUUGUAGCAACGCGUACCAAACUUCUGUUUUUUUGAAUGAUCCGAAGAGAGAAACACUUUUGCAACGGAAAUACCAAUAUUUUGUAUUUCGGUCAUUAACGCUGUAAAGAUAACAAAACUAAUGCUAUCCUCUUUUCACAGGUAGAGCACAGAACGACAGAAUAGGAACGUUCGCUCCCCUUCAUCCAUCGUGUGAAUAGUAGUAAUUUCCAAUCCAAGACAUUUACUUUGCCUUCACUUCCUCAAUAAUUUCGAUCACGUUUUAAUAGCUUCCUUCGGUCAUGCUUAAUGGCAUCUAUCACGUUUCCACAAUGAGCUUUAGAAGAAGAAGAAUAAGUCAACUGUAUCAUAUCAUAUAAUCUCCACAUUCCGCGUUUUCUCUGCAACUUUUGGUUCUCUGGAUCCGAAAAGCCUCUAUCUUUAACCCUUCUUAUCCUCAACUGCAUAUUCUCCCCGAGAUUUGGUCUACUUUUCCGCCUGAAUUCUGUUUCCCGGGUAUUCAGAAUCUCACUUCCAUCAUUCAGCUUAUCUGGUAAAUGGUCAUAGGCUCUCAUCUCCUCGGCUCAAUAGGUAUUUGGUCUUCUUUCGUUGCCUUCUCACCCAAUUCGAACUUUUUGCUCUUUUCCAAGUUUACCCAAUGGAUUUGUAUUGUUGGUUUAUCUUUUGCUUCACCAGACACUGUAUUUCUUUUCAUGCUGAGACUUGAAGAUUCAAAAUUUGAACAUUUUCUUUCCUGUUUCUUUUCCUGUGGAUGUAUUCUCGGCAUCCAAACAGAAUUUAUUUAAAUGAUGUCUUUGCCCUUUGGCCUUUGGAUAUCUUGCAUAGACUGAAUUUUGAGUAUGUUCAUCAGUAUCCUGCAAAGUUACUAUUUUUAUUUCUAAAUCACUAUUAUCAUUGGUUGAAGAAAUGGCUAUCUUCAGGCUUUUUAUUACAAAAUAUUGCUAAUUAUGAUUUAAAUAAUACAGUUGGAGGAAAAAUGGCACAUUCCAACUCUGGGGAGGACUUCUUGAAGAAUUUCAAAAUUCCAAAGUAUGUACUAGUGCCAAAAUCAGAGAGUGAAAAUGUACCUAAUGUACCCGAUGUACCCCAGUGUCCAGUUUUAGUGUUUAUCAACUCCAGAAGUGGUGGUCAGCUAGGUGGGGAUCUUCUUGUAACGUACCGUUCCCUUCUCAAUGAAACUCAGGUAUUAAUAUAUUUUUUUCUUUUCUGUAUGGUCAAAUGUUGUUAAAUUUCUCAGUUUAAAUUAUGGAUUGAUUAUUACUUCAGCGGUUGCAUUAAGCGGCUAUUUUUAUUUCAAUUUUUUUGCGAAUCUGAUCUUGAACUAGCUUAUUUGUAGGUUUUUGAUUUGGGGGAAGAGACUCCUGAUAAGGUGCUGAGCCGAAUCUAUGCCAAUCUGGAAAAACUCAAGCAGAAUGGGGAUGAAUUUGCUACAAAGAUUCAAGAGAAAUUGAGAAUAAUUGUGAGUCAAACUAUAAUCAACAUAAAUGGUGUGCUAUUUUUAUUUUUCAUGACCUUGCAGGCUGUUGCCCUUUCCUGUUUCUGACAUGUACCAAAUCCUCUAGGUUGCAGGUGGUGAUGGAACUGCUGGUUGGCUUCUUGGAGUUGUUUCUGAUCUCAAAUUAUCUCAUUCACCCCCAAUAGCAACAGUACCCUUGGGAACUGGAAACAAUCUUCCAUUUGCAUUUGGAUGGGUAGGCAAUUUCCUGUCCCAGUGGCUUUUAUGGUCUAGAAUUACCUAAAUCAUAUUUGGAUGCUUGGUUGAGUUGUCAUUUAUGCAAAACCACAAUAUGCUUUGAUAUUAUGCAGGCAGUCAGUAGUUACAACUAGGAUUGCACUCAUGUCUUGUUGAUUCUUGUACCUUUCAGAGUUCAACUUGUUAAUGCACUCUAUGGAAGGGCAUUUUGCGCCAUUCUUAUUGUAGAAUUAGUUCUCUUCUUAAUCUUUUCUUUUUACUCUCUAAAAUCUCAGAGUUUUUUAUUUAUUACAAGUAGAUGUGCAUACUACCAAUACAUUUCUCAAUUUCUUGUUUGAAGACACAAUAUUUACUAGCAAUCCUUAAGUAGUGCUGCCAUGUUUGUACUUUACUCAAGUUUAAAUUUUCUGAGUGAUUUGUAAUUCUCAUGGCUAAGGUAAUAGUGCAGCCAUUGAUUGCUUGCAUCAUGCAUGACAUGCUGUUUGAUAAUUUUUCAGGGGAAGAAGAAUCCCGGGACAGAUCCUCAAUCUGUGAAAUCGUUUAUGAAUGAAGUAAAGAAAGCCAAGGAAAUGAAAAUAGACAGGUGUGACAGUCAUCAUUGUUUCUUUUUACAUCCUGAUUUUUGUAAAUUCGAAGUGCUGUAGAUUCACAGUACUGUUUCUAGAUGAUUCACAUCUCAUCAUUUAAAUCAUCUCCUUAAUUGUUUGCAUAUAAUAGAUUUACCUGUCUGCAGAUGGAGUUUUGAAGUAUGAAUUCUUUGAUGACUAAUUUUAUUCAGUCCUUUUUUUUCCUUAAGUCUCCUUCAUCUUCAUUGCAAGUUUUAACCAGUUCUCCUUUUUUAGUAAAUGCAAAUUCUGAUUUUGUUUUUUCUUCCUUAUUCUGAUAUAGCUGGCACCUCCUCAUGAGGAUGAAGACUCCAAAAGAUGGUCCAUUGGAUCCCAUUGCUCCUCUUGAGCUUCCACAUUCUUUGCAUGCAUUUGGUCGAGUCUCUGAUACAAAUGAGAUGAGCGUGGUAAGUCCUCUCUUAUCUGUUUUAGUAGCGAAAAGAACCAGAUCCAUAGAGUAGCAGGCAGUUAAAAUCAGUUACUGAGCCAGCUUUCUGCUCGUGGUUGAUUUGCUUUUGAACAAAUCUAAUGCAGAUAGAUUUUAAAAUUUCAUGGUUUCAGUGUUGACCUUAGAUGUGUCAAAAUUGCAUAUCACUUGCGUAUGAUUGCAAAAGGGCCUGAUUUCUAACUAGAGUCUAAUUUUUUUAUUCUUGCUUUGUUCCUUCAUCAACCUAUAUAACCAAAUGGAGUUAACCUUCAACUUUACAAUUUUUAUGCGCUUUUUCUAAGCACAAAUUUCAACCAAAAUUAUCUAGGAGUAAUCAAGAAAAUGCAAUCAACUGAUGGAAUGAUGUUUAAAAGAAGUGUCACUUUUAAAUGUUUGACGUUCCUUUUGUGAAAGCUCAAAGCUCUUCUCUUUCUUGUUGGAGACAAGUUUGGUCUGCUGUUUUAUACACAAAUGUUUGGGUGCUUUGCAGGAAGGUUGCCAUACAUUUCGUGGGGGGUUUUGGAACUACUUCAGUAUGGGUAAGAGUUCUUCCCUUGGAGUCCUGUCAAAUAUUUUGAGCCUUAAUCUGCAUAGCUAUCUCAUUCUUUCUAGAAAAUGUCUCCUUUUGCUGAGUCGAUUUAAGUUCCACCAUUGUCACUUGUUUGUAGUGAUAUUCAAAAUUAGUAUCUUAUCUUCUUUUUUCCUGUAUAUAAGCCAAAUAAUUGUUGAUAAUAUCUUCCUUAACUGUGUUUUUUGAAAUGGACUACAUGUUUAUGGUUGUAGGGAUGGAUGCUCAAGUAUCAUAUGCAUUUCAUACUGAGCGAAAGCUGCAUCCCGAAAAGUUUAAAAACCAGUUUUCAAAUCAGGUACAUACUUCUUGAAGAACCAUUAUGAUCCAUGGAUAUCGUGUAGUUAAAUCAUGAUAAUUAUUUGAUAUAUUACUUAAGAAAAUUUAUAAUAGAUAACACAAACUAAAAGGUAGGAUGCAAAUUAGAAAUAUUAGUUGGUACUAUACGCCAUAGGUGUUAAACAUAGAGCAGCUAACUUUUACAAUGUACAUGAACCUCGAUAGAUGAAUUUGUCACGCAUUUUUAAACUUGAUCCUCAUACACCAUUAGUGCUGAUGCUAACAUGAACAGCGAGAUGAAGGCAUUCACAAUCCAUUAAAUAACUGAAAGACCUUAGGGUUUUAAUUCUGUUCUUUUUCGGAGUAAUGAAUUCAUGAACUUCUUAGUAAUUUUGCCUGCAACCCCUCAUUUUUCAUGAACUAGAGUUAGUCAUAUACAGUAAAUUUUCUGGCGUGGAUAAAUCUGUUACAGCAUUCAUGUCAUUCAGUUUAACUGGAUCUUGCUCUGCAUAUUAUGAUAUAGAGAGAAACACUACUUAUUCCUCUGCUCUUUUCUUUAAUCCUAAAUACAGAGUACUUAUGCAAAGAUUACCCGUUCACAAGGCUGGUUUUCUUCUUCCCUUUCUCAGUCUUCUUCCCGGUGAGCAUCUAGAGAUUGCCCGUCCAGCAAUGGAUUACCUUUUAGCAUCUUCUUUACUGAAUAUGAAAUUAACUAAAUCUCUUGAAAUAGGAACAUAAACCAAUUUGCAAAGUUGAUGAUCAUGAAAAACCAUGGUGGUCAUUGGGAAGAGCUCCAAAUUCCUUCAAGGUACAUUGUUGUCUAUAUUAUAACUGAGUUGAGCUUGCUUGAUCUUGGAUUCAUGCCAAGUUCUGUAUUUGAUCCAGUUGCUAAUUAAUUUUCCGGUUCCUAUAAGAAAAAUUUCCAUGCCACCCAUGUCCAACGUCACUUUUCUCCUUAAAAAUUUCCAUGCACUACUUGUACCGUGUUCCCUCGUUUUCAUUUUGCAUGGGUGUGAACUUCGUUCUCAUGAGUCUGUGUUGCGCUCUACUGCAAAAGGGCAACAUCUCUUGCACAAGGAUUAAAUUGAUUUAAUAUUUUGUUUCUCGUCUCUGUGGUACUUGAUGCUUGAUUUUAUUUCACAAAUAAUGUACAGUUAUUCUUUAUUAACUUCUGCGUUUCAAUUUUCAGCAUCAAGUCAAUUGUGUGCCUCAAUUUGCCUAGCUUUUCUGGUGGAUUUAAUCCUUGGGGAAUGCCAAGUAGGAGGAGGCAUAAUGUUGGUUCACGACAUCACCUAGUGAAUUGGAUCCAAAUUUCUUUUCUUAUUAUGUCUAACAAAUUCUUUGGUGGAUUUGACUUUUCAGGGAGAGUUUACUCCACCAUAUGUAGACGAUGGCCUCAUUGAGGUCGUUGGUUUCAGAGAUGCUUGGCAUGGGCUUGUUUUGCUUGCGCCAAAGGGACAUGGGACUCGUCUUACCCAGGUAAUAAAUAUGAAAUGGUUUUGUUACAUAAUUUGCAGCAAUGAAUCUUGAUCAAGCUGAAAUUAUGUUCAUAAUUGGCUUAUUUUAUGCUAAUCUUAUCGAUGAUAGGCCCACCGGAUCCGCUUUCUGUUUCACAAGGGUGCAAUCGAUCAUACGUACAUGAGGAUUGAUGGUGAGCCCUGGAAGCAACCCCUCCCAGUUGAUGAUGAAACUGUCAUGGUGGAAAUCUCUCACCUUCGCCAGGUGAACAUUCUUGCCACACACGGCUGCAGGUCGAAAAGCAUUAACAAUCCUGUGUCACCGAGCAGCCAUGGAGCUGAUGAAGAGGAUUCGGAUGAAGAAGCUCAUGAAUCAGCAGAGUAUAGGAAGUUUGGUGCAGCAGACACAUUUAAGCUCCCGGAAGAAAUUGAUAUUUCUCAGCUUAGCUAAACCACUUAUUAAGUCAUUCCUUUUCUGUCCAAUCCUAACUCCCUUGUGAACGAGUGAGAUUUCUAUUGGGAUUUCAUUGCCAUCUUAGCUUAGUACCAUUUCCAGCAGUCAACCAUGAAAUAUCUUUUUAUUUCUUUGUGAAGAAUUGUUAUCUAGUUGUAUAUUAUUGAUUUAUGUGAAUGAAAUAAAUGCAAAUAAUUCUUCUCAAAUUCGUUGGAUCCCAUCAAGUCCUGGCAGAACAAGGGUACAAGCAUUGAAGUAAAAGAAACUCAAUGAACCAGGAAGAUGAAAUCUUUAUGAUAGGAGGCUCAAUCAUAUGUAUACACAGUGCAUAAAAAUCGUGAUUACUUGUAAGGUCAAGCUUAGGCAAUGGAGGCAAGAGUGAUGCUAUGGAAGCACUCGAUUAGGGUGAGAGAGAGAGAGAGAGAGACUAGCACUUAGCUUUACUGUGGAGAACCCGAUUCAAAUAUUGCAAAUCGAGAAUUGUAGUUACAAGCUAUAAUACAAUUUUUUUUUUUUUAAACAAAAGGUAAUAAUAAAAAGUAAAUAUGUAGACAUGUGGGAACAUAGGCUGUUGCUGGAGCACCACUGCAAGCAAUACACUAACUGCAAACCUACAAGUCGGUGGAAAGGUACAUGCCUAAGUGUAAAAACUCCAACUCUACCUCAAAGAUUUGGGGAUCUGCAGCUUCGCGGAGAGUGACCAGCUUUGAAGGAGGCAUCACUCCGACUACUGGCGAACAUAUUGGUAGUCUCCCAUUCAUUUUGUAACUGCUUCAUUGGCCUUCUGAUUUUCAACCCUUUCUUCUCUUUUCUUCUUCUCCCUGAAAGCCACAAUCAUUGCAUUGAAAUACUAUGGUUACCCAUUGGAACACAGUAAGCACAAAAGCUUCUCCGUCCUUAAUGAAUCAUAAGCCAAAACCCAUAAAUUAUUACAGAUAAUCGAACUAAAGCUAUGGAUUUUAACUUUAUAAGGUCUAGUGGAUUAACUGGUUAAAUAUUUUAGCUUCAAUUGUGGAUGUCAUGUGAAUUGUGAUCAGGUAGAGACAACUAGUACCAGAGCGACAGGUGUACACUUGAGGAUUAUUAUCAUGUCCAUCUUAUCUAUCAUAUAUAAUAUACUAUGAAUUCAAUAACGGACAUGAUGCUGAGGGAGAUGUUACCUGGCCACAUAUUCCUUUAGAAGUUCUUUUGCCUGAACCAGCUUGGAAAGCAGAUUGCGGUACACAUCAAGGUCCCGGUCCACACUUCUUUUGUCAAUGUUUAAGGCUGCACAUAACUGUUGGACAACCAAAAAUGCUCAAACAUUGCUCUCUCUCUCUCACCAACCAUUAAAUAUGGUCUCCAGUUAAAAAUUACAAACAACUCUUCAAAAGUCAGCAGAGCCCAUUAGGCCCAGGAAAAAUGUAUAUAGUAAGUAAAUCUAUCGGCUCAAGUUGAUCAUGCAAGGUAAUUCAAUCAUUUGAUGUAACGGUCAUUAACUCAACCAAGCACAAAAUGCAGUAAUUUUAACAUUUGGCUGAACACCUAUCAUUGAGUUGUAAUGUUGAUGCAUAGGACUGGCAAGUCUAACCUUUUCUAAUAUUGUUGGUUCAGUUGCAUUGGCCAAUUCGAGAAGACGAAAGAGCCCAACAGCAAAGAAACGACUGUAGCUAAAACUUCCUUUGCUUGCUGCCCUUUCUGCAAUGUCCUUCAAUGUCCCCUCAAUUUCUCCUUCUCUGGAUGGGAACUCAACUAAUGAACUGGAAGUUUGUGCCCGAGCCCACUCUUCCAACUUUUGUGCAUCAAUUCUGUAGUGCUUAGCAUGGAAACUUAUCUAGUAAAGGUAGAGACUUUUCUCAAAUAUAUAAGAAAGAGAUUGAUUACAUGCAAAAAUAAAAACUCAAAUGCACAUGACACUCCCACUGGAAAAAAAAUGCAGUAGAAGUUUUGACAGUGAACAGAUUAAGAAUUGUUUCCCACAAAAAUUACUCUUCUGAAGAGGAAGCACAAAUGAUUGGUCAUGGUCAUGGCCAGUAUGACAUAUUUGUAGUGUAAGGAGGUGUAAAUUCUUAGACUCAGUUUACAUUUGGAAAAGCAGAGGAAAGGGAAGAAACCAUUUCUGUGGUUGAUGAAUUAAAUUAAUUAAAUCACAAUUUUUUUUAAUAUAAAAAAAUUAUCUCUACUUCAUAGAUUUUUCAAGAUAAAAAAGAAAAUGAUAGAAUACUUAACAAAUUAGGAUUCCUUUUUUCUUUUUUUCUCAAGUAUCCUAUGACCAGUGGUUUUCCCUUUAUUUUUCCAAUAUCAAAACUGAUCCUUCAAUGCAUGUGUCUCAGAUUAUUUUAUCAACCAAUCUUCUGGCAUAAACUAGGAAAUUCUGAUGUAGCAUUAUGCAGUUUGCAUGAUUCAGAUAUCUUCUUAAUAGGAUUUUCUUGGUUAUAAAAAAAAGGAAUACUUAAAUGCAAUAUCACAAUCUCAAUUAGUAGCUUACAUGUUCACUUAGUUUUCAUAAUUUUGAAACCUCAGAUAAUGCGAUUGUCAGUUUGCCACAGUUUACAUACCACAUUUCUUCGUUUCAAAAUAAAAACUUAUGCAAUGGAAAAAAACAGAGAAGAGGAAUCCCGAAGAAGAUCCCACACAAGUGACAAACCUGUAUUGCUCUGGGUCCUCAUUCAAUGCUUCGAUGUAAGCUUGGAAGAUUGCCUCUCGAUCCUCAUCGCUGGGGUAUCCAUCCAUGAGUUGAUCAAAUACAGUGACAAAACCAAGGGCGAACACGGGAUCAUACCGGUAUGACUUCUUGUACUUAAUCAAAUGCUGUUGGACAAUCAGCUCCUGCAGCACAGUGUUGUAAACACUAGGGAUUGGUCGCUUAUACGCUUUAAGAAAAUUCAACUUUGUGUCAGCUACAGUAGGCGCAUCUGCACAUCAAGUAAGCAACCACAAGAAGACCAAGAAAAUUAUGGAGAAUUUAAUUAUAAACUUCUUGUGGAAUAAAAAUUAAGAGUCUGUUGAAACAAAUUUAACCAAUAUAAACUCUGAUAAAAUUCAAGCAUAUUGGCUCAGGAACCAAAGAUGGGUCCUGAUGAAUAUGAACAUCUAGCUAGAUAAUUAGUUCAUCAAGGCUCCAUUGUUCUUAUCCCACAUGAUCAAGGCAAGAUGAUUAGAAAAAUUCUUCCUUUCCAUAUCAGUAAAAUAACUUCCUACCAUUAACAUAUAAGGAAAGGCAUAACAAAAAACAUUACAGCUAAAUUAGAUCGAACUAAAAGCUUAAUUUUACUUUAAACGAUGUUAAUUUAGUAUGCCAUAGCAGGCCAAAGAGGUAAAAAAGCAGAAAUGAACGGAAAAUUCACUAGCUCCUGCACAAAAUUAUUUAAAAUUAAGCUCCAGUCUAGUUCCUGAUAAAAUGUAGCAACGUUAAAAGAUAGCAAUUCAAUGGCAUCAAACAAAGGUACGAAGCAAAACCCACAUGACGCGCCUGACAUGCAAUGAAUCAUCAUACGAGAACUCGAACUCGAUGCUCGAACACCACCAUUAUUGCAGGAAAAGCUCGUACGGAGCCGGAGACCUUCGGAGUUGUAAGCCAAAUUCCGAGUAGAAGAUAUUACCGAUUUUCUAUCAGAACACUGACUCAGGGCAGAGAAAGAGAGAGAAGCAACGGCAGCCAUUUUUGGAAGAGAGAGUAUUAGAGUUGGAAAUUUUCCGGGAAAAUUUUAAGCAUAGUGGAGAGGAAGAGAGAAUUUGGUGGGUUUUAGGAUUUUAAUUUAUAAAAUAAUUUCGGGGAAGAGUGUGAGAGAGAUAGAGGUCCACGAAAAGGCUUAUCCAAGUGUUGUGAUCCAGUAGUUUUUUGACAAGUGGUGUUUCGUGGUGCGGUAUCUGAAAGAGAGACAUGGUGAUGGGUCGGACUGAAUUGGACCGGGCCGCCUGAUAUUUUAUUGGAUAGUCAGUUUAUUUUGUUUCUUUUCUUUUUUGAUAGAGGCCAUGGAAAGCGAUAGCCGUUUUGAUUUAGAGUAUGCGCGGUCUAGUUUGGUUUGAUUCGAUUAAUGGAUGACGCCUAUAGCCAUGGUUGUCGACAUUCAAAUGUUAAUCAUAGUUUGUGAGGAGAUUAAUUUGAAGGGGGUGAAAUAGUGUAACGUCAAUCAAAAUAAUAUCUAACAUCGUUAAUAAAUAUUGUCAAAAUUAUGGAUGUGCGAAAGUCGUUUUGAUUUAGAGUAUGCCUAAUUUGGUACGGUAUUGGUUUGAUUUAUUCUCGAACUAGUAGUAUAAUCAAUUCAUUUUGAUGAUCAAUUUGGUUUAGUUUGUUUUGAUUUCCCUUACUUAAUGAUUAAGAAAUAAUAUAUUCUUUUACUUAAAUCAAAGAAAAAUUCGUUGAAAAAAUAGUUGAGAAAACUUCUUAAGGUUGAAUAUGUAUUUAGAGAUAGAGAUAGAGUACAACAUCGAUGAGUAACAUCAAUGUGUUGGAAGAUUCAUAAUAGUGAAUGGUGACAACCAAUAAGAAAAUGCACAUUAAAAAAAUCAUAAAAACAAUAUAUGUGGUUUUAUUCGGUUUAUGCGGUUAAAAAAGGUCAACCUGAAUUAAACUGAACAAAACAGCUCAAUAUAGGUGAUUUAGUUCGGUUUAUAUGGUUUUCAAGUAAGCCAAAUCAAAUCAAAAUAAACUAAUUAUGAACAAUUUAAACUGAACAAAACUGCUCAAAUGGAUUGGCCAGUUCGAAAUCCCUACUUCGGUUGAUAAAUAGAAAUCAAAAUGGAACUAAAGAUGAAAGCAAAAUUCAACUCUUAAGAAAGAAGAAAAGGAGAAGGGCAAGUUGCAAGGAUUGUUAGGUGUCAAUCUUAUCCAAUUGUAGAGUUAAACGUGUACAGGCUAAACAUCGACUCAUGUGGAAAUAUGCCUUCUCUGCCUCCAAUGUCGAUGGAAGCAACGUGCUCUGCAUUGUUUUUUAAUUUUCUGUCUGUGACUGUGAUACUAUCUUCUUAAACAAAACAGGGAAGAUGAGAAGAAAAGCUCAGGACACCCCAAGAUCUCAAUGCUUUGAGUGAAUUGAUUUUGCCAAGUGGCAAACCCUAACAAAAGCUUUUUUUUCUUCUUCUUUUCUUUUCUAAAGGAGAUAUUACUUGAUCUUUAGCAAAUCAGGAAAGGAAAUUCACCAUUUUUUUUAUAUACAAAACCUCUAAAUCAUUCUUUUCCAGCUAUGUUGCUGCCCUGCUGCUUCUGUGUCUAUAAAUGGAAGCUGGCCUCCAAGUUGUAGCCAUAUAUUUCAUUCUUAAUUUGAGUGCAUAACACUCCAAGUGCAGAGAUCACAAAUCACUUACAAUGAUGCAAGGAACUAAUGGCCAAGCUGCUGCUUCUGCUUCUUCUCCUAAAGGCAACUACUCUGUCUCAUCUUCUACUAGGCCAACUAUAGCAGAAGUUUAUGGUGGUCUUACACCAAAAGUACUUUUCAAUAAAGCUACUGCUAACAACAGCACUACUACUAGUGAUCAAACUCAUCAAAGGCUUAAACAGCUGCAGGCAGAAGAAUCGCUUCGCACUGUCAUGUACUUGAGCUGCUGGGGUCCUAACACAUGAUGAUUCAUAGCAGACACUCUAGUAUAAAAGUAUCCUAGAUUAAUUAGUCUCUCUCCAAGAGGACUUAAGUUGUUAAUUUCUUCUAUCUUUAGUUUUAAACUCUUGAAGAACUGUGCUGUAAAAUUAACUCUUGACUAUUUUUCAUAUGAAUCAUGCACAAUAUUUUGUAUCUGUCAAGAAGAAAAUUAACUGCAGAAGUAAGUAUUUAUUUUAUUAGAUCAUCAAGCAGUGAUGUGUGGCUCUACAGCCCAAGAAGCGGGCUAGCUUUUUCCAUUACAAAACUCACAACUCUCUUUUGAAGGAAGAAAAGCUGCAUAUAGUAUAACAAGGAGGAGAUCACAUCAUGCACAGUAUAAGUAUCAUAUCGGCAUGAUUGUAGUUAGGUUCAUAAGUAUAUAGAUAUCAUGGCUAAUUAGGGCCCCAACAAAUUAGAUUCAUGACUUUCUCAACGUUUUCGGCUUUCCUUAAGCACAUCUGUCUCUCUUCCACUUCAAUCUUCUUCUUCACGGUCUCAUAGGUGGUACAAGGAAACCUUAUUUCAAAAAGCUUGUGCAGAUCAGAUUCUGGUUGGGAUUUUUCUUGAUGGCAAGGCAUGAUUGUAGUUAUCAUGGUGAUGCCUUUUUAGUUUUUAGAGCACUGCUGACUGCUUAAUGAUCCAAUUCCCCUCCUGCAUAUUUAUAUAUACACUUUUUUCUUUUUAUGUAAACAAAUCUUUAUUUUUUUAUAAAAAAAUUAGUCUAUACUUACAGCAUCUGAUUUUUACAAAUUUUGUUAACUUAUUUCGUGGCUUUUGGGUUAGCGUUAAAUGGGGUUUUGGCUAAUUAUGUGUCUCUUGAUUGGAGUAAAGGCUACUAGCUUUUAGAGUUCAAAACUAGUGAAGAUAGAUGAGUUUUGUCAAAAAUAUGGGAUCAUCAAGUGGUAAUUCAGGGUCUAAUUAAUUCAUUUUCAAGCUAAAUUAUGUAGGGGGACGAUGACGAUUGAUUCUAACAGCAAAAGGAGUGAUUUCAUCACUGCAACUUGAGUAGCCUCUCGUAUAGGACUAAAGCAGUCAUUUGAAAAUGAGCAAUAUUUGGAAAAAGAAAUAGAUGAAUGAUCAAAAUAUCCCUUCCAAAAGUUGCACAAAAAAAUCCAUAUUAAAAUAAGUGUAGAACAAAAACAAGUUGGUACGAGCAUGACACAUUCGAUAAGAUGAAACGAAUGUAGCUAGUAGCACGAAAUGGAUCGCACGUAUCAGGAGACAAAAACAAACCCUCAUCAUUCUUCAGUUUUGAAGGGGAUGAAUGGGUGAAAAGCAUGUACAAAAGGAGACAAAUAGCUGAGAUCACAAUAGUGCUAGCUCCUUCUUCCGUUACUUGCUUCAUCAAAAAACAAGAAGCAAAACCUUAGGUUUUCUCACAGAAAACCACUGCAGAAUUUGUCUUACAUACAAUACUAAUAAUCUACAAGGGACAAAUGCAGCUUCCGGAUUUCCACAAAUCUCAAAACCACUUUGUGUUUUUCUUUUGCUUUAUGUGUAUAUAUAUACAUUCAGUGUUAGGGUCCAAAGCAUAGUCCUCCAUACCUAAGAAACCAAAAAAAAAAACCCCGGAAACAGAAAAAAGCAGAGUGCUCUGCUGACUUAACUGAAGAUGUGUGCAACAAGAGGAGCUUGGAUCGCAGCGGUUAGUGUUGGAGCUGUUGAGGCUUUGCAAGAUCAAGGCUUCUGCAGAUGGAGUUACACCAUGAGGUCUUUGAUCCAGCAUGCCAAGAACAAUAUGAGAUCAUUCUUACAAGCCAAGGAACUCUCUUCUUCUUCUUCUUCUGCUAUGGUUUUGAACAAAAUGAAUUCUGAACAGAAGAACCAAGCUGAGAAUUCUCUAAGAAAAGUCAUGUACUUGAGCUGUUGGGGUCCUUAUUGAAAUCCCUCCAAUAUUAUAGGUAGUUGAGGAUGUACCACUUAGAUUUUAUUUUUGAAACUGAGUUUAAGCUGUAUAUACAUGAUUUGAAUGUAUAUUUUCCCAACCCAACAACAAGAAAAUCCCAGAUUUUGAUUUUUAUCAAUGAACAUGAACGUUGGUUCUAUUUUUCAGUCAAACAACUAACCAGUUGAAAUUAUCACAAAGCCAAAAACAAAGAACCGACUAGUUGGAAUUCAUAUCAGUUAAGUGCAACAAGAACACAAUCUCAUCCUAUUGAUCAUCGUUGACAAAAUUCAAGUACAAAAGUAAUGUAAAAAUCCAAAGGGUUCAUUUAGAUCAAAAUCUUGGAGCAUUACGUUUUUCAAAUAUAAAAUGAACACACACCAGACACGUCGAUAUUCCAUCUUAUUAGUCAUCUAAUUCGUCAACUAUAUAUGACACUUUUAUCACAAACUAACCAACUAACUCUUAAUUUAGUGAUAUUUCAUUUAAAAGAAAGAAAGAGAAUCCUCAUUAAUUUAGUAUGUUAUGUUUCUUCUUCAUCAAAUACCAAUUGAUACUCAAUCGACAUACAUCGACGUGUGACAAUCAUGUGAACUCUAACAUGAUCACUUCUCCAAUAAGAGUGAUGGAAAUUUAGAGGAAACAUUCUAGUUUUUGGGGGGCAGCAGAUGUUAGGGACACUCAUACGUCCAUCCACGUGUAAGAAUCAUGUGAGCUCCAAGGAAGUUGAGGUUCUACUCCAAACUUAAUUCGGAGGAAGUAGUCCAACUCCUUAUAAGUAGUUGCUAGAUUUCUCAUCCAUCCAAUGUAAGACAUUUUCAUUUCACAUUUUCACAAUUGCACUUGCAGUUGCACGUGAACAUUGACCAAAAAAAGAGAGUAAACUACCGGUUUCACUCCUAGACUGCUACUACUAGCCCACAGUCCAAAAUAAAGUGACAAGAGACUCUGUUUCUGUCUUUUGGUCCACACUCCAAAUCAAACAAGCAAACAAAUGGUUUCACUCCCAUACUGCGGGCCUAGAUACAAUAAUUUAAAUCAAAACCAUGUGCUCAUGAGGCAACAAAACUCGGUGCUUAUCCAAACUCCAAAAUCUUAAAUUCCACUUUUACCCCUGCCCAGUACAUCAUAUCCCCUGCAUCUGCAUGUACAAAACAGUAAUAUCCCCAAAUAUAGUGUAAACAUCCACAUACCUUACCAAAACAAACAGAAGAAAACAAAACCAGCUCUGGUUUUUUGCCACAAGCCCACCUUUUUUUAAAAAAGAAAUCCCCCAUAUAAGGAGCACCUCAAGAUAAUCUUCUCCAUCAAUACACUCAAACAUUCACAUUCACAUUCACAACUGAGAAGUUCAAAGCAUCAAAGAGAGGUCAGUAAGGAAGAGAAAAUAAAUCGUAAUCGUGAUGAGUUCAUCAAGUGCAAGCAAGGCUAUUGUGGCAGCAAGUGUUGGAGUUGUGGAGGCAUUGAAGGACCAAGGGAUAUGCAGAUGGAACUCUGCUUUAAGAUCUGUGCACCAGCAAGCCAAAACCCAACUCAGGUCAUGUUCUCAGGCCAACAACAAGCUCUCAUCUUCUUCUGCUUCAGCUGCUUUCAGUAAAGUCAGAGAUGAGAAGCUGAAGAAAUCAGAGGAGUCUUUGAGGACAGUCAUGUACUUGAGCUGCUGGGGUCCCAACUAAUUCAAUCAGCACCGAAACAAGCGCAAAAAGAUCACAUUUCUGUUGAGGCUUUGAAAGAUAAAGGCUUCUGCAGAUGGAGUUGCACCACCAUGAGGUCUGUGCACCAGCAUGCCAAGAACAAUAUGAGUUCUUUCUUACAAACCAAGGAACUCUCUUCUUCUUCUGCUAUGGUGUUGAACAAAAUGAAUUCUGAAGAGAAGAAUCAAUCAAGCUGAGUAUUCUCUAAGAAAAGUCAUGUACUUGAGCUGUUGGGGUGUUUAUUGACACAAAUUGGAGCUCAUGGUGAAGUCCCUCAAGAUUUGAAGAUUUUUGAGACUGAAUUGAAGCUGUAUACAUUAUUUGAAUGUAAAUUUUCCCAAUCAACCAAAAAAACAAGAAAAUCUAUGUUCUUUGGUUUUUAUGAAUGAACAUUGGAUCUAUUAAUUAGACAAUUCUCGACCAGGUUAACCUUAGCUUACUGUAUCAUUGGUACUUAUUUGGAAUUCUAAUUCAAUACAUGUUGGUUUUAUUAAUGGUUCCUCCUUCAAACAGAGAUGCUUUUGGUUCUAUUUUUCAGUCAAUCAACUAACCAGAUGAGGUUAUCACAAAACAAAAAACAGAGAACAAACCAGUUGAAAUUUAUCAGUUAGGGGCAACAAGAACACACAAGGUUAUCUCAUCAUAUUGAUCAUUGUUGGCAAAAUAAAAAGGCAGACGGUUCAUUUCGAUCAACCAAAACUUUAAAAACUAACUCUUAAUAUAGUGAUAUCUCACUUAGAAUGAAGAAAGAGAAUCCUCAUUAACUUUACAAAGGGUCAUGAAGCGUUUAACAAAAGGCCUUGACUAAGUGAAGAAAGAGAAUCCUCUCCAACUUUACAAUGGGUCAUGAAGCGUUUAACAAAAGGCCUUGUCAUUUUGGUCAAGGUCCACAGAGUCUUGUUCAGUGGAAAAGACAAAAGGACCUGAGUCUUGUUAAGCGGAAAAUUACCUGACUUACAGACUAAUUGUCCCAAUUUCAAACUUCUCUGAUACAGCUGACAAUGUGUGUAGGAGAACACCUCCCUCCGGCAAUAUCACUUGUAUAAAAAAGGCCUUAUGAUGUGUUCAAAUCCGACUCAUAGCUUGUGCAAGCAAGGCGAUGACAUAGGCCCCCAAAUAUUUGAGGCUCCAAUUUUUUUUCUAGCCCACUUCUAUAAGAAACCCAAAAUAUCCCUUUAUUUUAAGUUGGAUCUUUAUGCAAGCUUUGGAAUUUGAAGGCAUGAUUAUAAGAAAUUUAUAAAAUCAGGUGAAUUCCUUAUUUAAAAAAUAAAUAAAUAAAUCUAAUGUGAAUGAAUUUUGUAGUUUAAAUUAUGAUUUAUAGAUUUACCCUUAAAGUUUUCCCUUAAAAAUUCACCAUGAAUGAGAAAAUAAUGUUGUGUUGUUCAUAACUUUGUCAUUAACAUUUUUUUCUUCUCUGAGAAUAUCAUAACUAGGGUGUACUUAGGGCCAUGUUGGCAUUGCUGUGCUGUGAAAAUAAUAACUAUCAGAUUUGCUAUGAGAGAAAUCAAAUAUGAGAGAGAAAACAGUUUGGCGUUUGGUAAACUUUUUAUUAAAAAUGUUGUUGGUACUGAUUCCCAUUUAAACCAACGCUUUUUCGAAACUGAUUACAGCCUAAUCAAAAAAUGAAAGCACCUCAUUAACUGUUUUUCCUUGUAGCUUUCUUUCACUGCAAUUUUUAAUAAUAAGUGAUUUUCUCAUAGUUUACCAAACAUGCUGGGCUUUUCAAUUUUUUUUUAAAAAUCACUUAUUAUCACAAAUAAGUAAUGUCAAAUGAGCACUUAGAUAAUUUUAUAUUUUAAUUUAAAUAUUUGGGUAUAUUCAGUUAUUUUCAGAGUUUGUUUAAUAACACCCUUAAUUUAUAAUGUAAUGGUAUCGUACGACUUUGAUUAGAUGAGAUAUAAAAGGUUACCAAAUUGUUGAUUCCCUUUAUUAUAAUAUAGUAUUUGUUUGAAUUUCUUUAUGUUCCUGUUGGGGCAUUGAGCACCAAAGUAUGAUGGGAAAAUUAUAGAAUGGUCUCAAAAGGAUGGACUUCUAGGAGCAAAUUCCUGGCCAUUGAACUUUUUGUAUGGUUAACUUUAAAAAGCUCGUUUGGACCCAUUUCAAUUUAAUAAUAGAAUAUUUAAAUAAACAUAAAAUUUCCAACAUUCAUGAAGUUAAUUGAGUAUGAAAUAUUAUUACAUAACAUAGUUUAAAUAUAUUGCAAUAAACGUGAUCAUCAACUGAGAUGCAAGCACGACAUAUAUGAGCUGCUGGUGGGGCCGCCUUGCCCAGAGGAUCGGGAGCUGCACUGUCUGUUACGGUGGUGCUCCAUGGCAUCGAUAAGAUUCAGGACCGGGUAAUGCACUGCUAAGAUCAGCUCCUCUCUCUUCUGUUGCGGUGGUGAGGCAUGACAUUGACGACCGGGGAAUGCAUAGGUAGGAUGAGUUGUUGUCCUGUUGAUGUCGGGCUGGAGCUAUUGGGCUAUCAGGAAGAGUUGGAGCUACUGGGCUACCGAGUCAGGUGGAGCUAUUAGACUACCAGGUAAAGAAACCUCUUAUGAAAAUAUAGCCCUUGAGACAGGUGGAGAAUCAAAGAUCAGUUAAGGGGAGAACGAAGAAAACACCAUGCAACAAUAACAAAAAUGACCUAGCCACUUAACUUGAACACAGGGAUCAGGCAUAAGAGCAUUUGCCGGAUGCCAAGCACACGAAUGCUCUAAGAACACAUUAAAUCAACAUCAAUAUCAUAUCAAUGUAUCCUGUGAAUGGAAAUACAAGCAGAUUAGUAAAUCAACAUGCGACGGGCAUUAUUCGAUAAAUACAACAUGCAGUAAAGAGACCAAAUGCUGGAACUAGAAAUAAUUUUCAAAAUAAUUUUCCUUUUAGAACGAGUACUGCAGACAUUCAUGAACUGCUAUGGCACAGAUGCAGAAGCCCAGGCUUGUAUAUACCCCCACACCCAAGCAUGCAUUCAUACACUUAAUCAAAAGUAAUAUAUUGACUUAAAAAAAUAUAUUAAUAACCACUGGCCAUCAUACCAAUAAGACGUAAACAUGACAUUGAAACAAAACCAGUGAAAAGGUAUGACUAUCAUUUUCUCACCCAGAGGGGCAGAUUCAUGUCAAUCUGCCAAUUUAGAGUAAUGUGAAAGCAAAAUCCGAAAACACUCAUCUACAUACAAACCGAUCAGGCCAAUGAUCAAUGUAAUCUGUCUGCAAUCCGAAAACACUUGAGCUGCAUCUAAACAUUACAUAACUCAUCACUCAGCACAGCAUAACACGAAGAGUUUAAACAGAAGCAAAAUUACAAACUGUUUGCGCUGUUUGCUUUACCAAACCUGCCGUCAAUGGCCUCGGUGAUAUUCUUAGCAUUCAAACUCUUGGGGACAUCUCGUAUCCAAGUCAUCUUCCCAGACGGUACGUGUAAUAUCAGAACAAAUUUUCACACAUCAGAAGUGAAAACCAAGCUGGCACACCAUUGUUAGCAUGAACUGAUACUCUCAUAGCUACUUUACAACCUUGGUGGCCAAAACGACGCUCCUCGCUCCUCCCCUGACCCUGAGUCUGGGCUCGCUGAACCACUGGAUACAUUUCUGUAGAGUCGAAUAAAUUGAUGCCGGACAGGAAAGCUUGGUCGAGGAGGCCAUACGACUCCGAAAACGUGUUUUGCUUGCCGAAAGUCAUCGUCCCUGCGUGAAGAAUGAAUUUUUAUUUGAGGAUGAGAGGGAGGGCCAAAGAAUCAGACUCAGAGUCGGUAAGAUUGGGGGCGAGGUUGAAGAGAGGCACUGCCAUUGCUUCGCUUGAGAAGCUUUUUGAGUUUGUCAACUGUGAGUGGAAUGGGAAGGAGAAAAAUCAAAGUAUAUGCUAUAUCGGCGCAAGUUUGGCGGAUUUUCAGGGGUUGGAUAAGAUAAAAACAUAACCGAGUUACUAUCUAUGUGUUCGAAAAAUCGUCCAACAAAUAAAUAAUAAAAUAAAAUAUAAAAAUCCGCCUAGGCGGGCUAGGCGGGUUGGGUCCUUUUUUUCUUUUUUUUCCUGACUUUAAAUAAAACCUAGUCUUGGAGGGAUAUGGAGAGGAGGAAGAGUUAGAUUUAGAGGCCGAGCUUUGAAUCAAUGCCUGUUGAAGCAGAUGCAUCAGUUUGGAGAGCCUUGCUCAAUGCUUGUCGACUUCAUUCUGCCACGAAGUUAGCUGGAACCAUAUUUGAAAAACUUGUUGAAUUAGAAUCGAUGAAUGCGGGGAAUUAUGUUCUGAUACCUAAUAGAGAUAUUUAGUAAUAUACCAAUUCUUAACACUAAUAUUAUAAAUAAACUCUAUAUCAUUGAAAUUCUAUAAACAAACCCCAAAAAAAAACAAAAAAUAACAGCUGGCCUUAUUGAAUUUAAUAUUGAUGAUUAAAUUACUUUGAUGCCCUAUUGAGUGUUUUGGGUAUUUUUAUGAGAUUUUGGGGUUGAGCUUGUUUUAAGAAAUUGAUGAUAGUUUUGUAAUUUAUAAGAAGUUCAAAGCCUCUUUGUUAUGUUGUAAAUGAGUUUUGGGUGUGUUGCUAAAGUCCAUUUCAUAUGAGGUAUUUUUAUAAUUUGGGCCCCUAUAUUGAGUAUAAUAGUAAAUCUCCCUAUCUAAUAUAUAUGCUGCAGCAGGUCUAUGGAUGGAGGUCAGGCAGAUAAGAACACGGCUCAGGGAAAAGGGUUAGAAAAGCCUCCUGGAGUAAGUUGGAUUGUUGUUAAAAGCCAGGUCCAUUGUUUCGUUGCCGGAGACACAUCACACCUUCAAUCAGACAUAAUUAAUUUAUGCAAGUUUAAAUUCUCUGUCAACCUUGAUCAAAGAAAGCCGAUACAUUCCUGAUCUUUGAUUGGUUUUGCGUGACGAAGAGGGUUAGGUUGAAAGUGGGGUCAUAAUCUUCAGUUUUGCAUACUGCUGAGGGUUGGGAACCUUUUAAUGAUCACUAAGGACUCAAAAAGGCUUUGUGAUGGGUUCCAUUGAUUAAUGUGUCUGUCAUUGUUGGAAGGGAAGAACAUGAAGAAUUUUGUAUCAUUUUAGGUCCCUGACCGGAUUCUUUUUUAGGCUUGAUAAACAAUUCCAUCGUGUAUAUUUGUAUUGAGAGUCUCUGACAUACAUGAAAGAAAGCUUCCAGAUAUAGUUUCUCAAAAGAAUGAAAGCAUCAAUUUCAAAAGAUGGAGAAGGAGAGUCAAUUUAAGAAGUUUGGUUAUUGAGUUUCAGACCAAAUUGUACACUGCUAGAAAUAUUGAACUGUAUAUACAAUUCACAAUGGCUCCAAGCCCAUAUGGAUUUAUAGUUACCUCAGGCAGAGCAUAAUUGUAAUUUUUUUUUUUCGAGAGAAAUUAUUUGAGUCAAAGGCUAAUUCUUAUAGCAAUGAUGCCACAAAUCUCACAAAAAAACGCCAGUCUAUCUCACUCUGCAAAGAUAAUUACUAAACCAAAAUUAUCAUUACGAUUAUGUAUUCAGCCAAAAUUUUCGAAGUUUGUGUUUACAACAGUUUGCCCCCCAAAUUUUAACAAGCAACUCUAAAAUUCUUGAGAGGCAGAUCAAUUGUUUCCUCUCCCUUUACCAAUCUUCUUCGGCAACAGGGUGAUGAAUGUUUCGCAAAACACUGCCCUUACCAAUAGUAACAAUACCAAUUCAAGACUUGGAUUUAGGGUUUGGAGGCUAAAAUCCAUUUUUAGAAUACAAAAAUAAUUUUCUAGGAUUUUUAAAUAAUUGAAACUAUUUUAAAAUUUCACAAAAUUAUUUAAGAUAAUUAAAUAUAUUUAAUUACUAUUUAUGAAGUAAAUUAAAUAUUUAAAUACUAAUUAUUCACUAAAUAAAUAGUAAUUAAAAGAUAAUAUAUUUAAAGAGUAUAGCCGGGCGGCUAUACUUUUUAAAUAUUCGAAUAUAUUAAAGGAGUAGAGCCGCGCGGCUAUACUCUUUAAAUAUAUUGGAAUAUUUAAAAGGUACAGCUGAACGCUAUACGCUGUAAAUAUAUUGGAAUAUUUAAAAGGUAUAGCCGCGCGGCUAUACUCGUUAAAUAUAUUCGAAUAUUUAAAAGGUAUAACCGAGCGGCUAUACUCUUUAAAUAUAUGAUGUUUUAAUUAUUUUUUAUUUACUGAAGAAUUAGUAUUUAAAUAUUUUAAUUAAUUUCAGAAACUACUUCAUAACUAGUAAUUAAUUUUGUGGAAUUUAAAAUUAUUUAAAAAUCCUAGAAAAUUAUUUUAGUAUUCUAAGUUCCUACAUAUCAAAAGAUGAGAUGAACAAUUUGAAAAUUGACCUCUAAAAAGAUUCAACCGAGCAUCUGCAGGACCCCCAUUAAGUCUCCAAACCAGAGUCCUAACGUGGACAAGAACAUGAAGAAAGAAACUAUAAAGAAUUGGAGGGAGAGGUGUCGAACCUAUUGCAAGAGAUACUGGAUGAACAGUACUUCCCUGCAAUAUCAAUGUAUCCUGUGAAUGGAAAUACAAGCAGAUUAGUAAAUCAACAUGCGACGGGGAUUAUUUGAUAAAUACAACAUGCAGUAAAGAGACCAAAUGCUGGAACUAGUGCUGCAGAAAUUCAUGAACUGCUAUGGCACAGAUGGAGAAGCCCAGGCUUGUAUAUACCCCCACACCCAAGCAUGCAUGCAUACACUUAAUCUAAAGUAAUAUAUUGCCUUAAAAAAAAAAUUUAAUAACCACUGAGGCAUCAUACCAAUAAGAUGUAAACAUGAAAAGGUGUGACUAUCAUUUUCUCACCCAGAGGGUUAGAUUCAUGUCAAUCUGCCAAUUUAGAGUAAUGUGCAAGCAAAAUCCGAAAACACUUAUCUACAUACAAACCGAGCAGGCCAAUGAUCAAUGUAAUCUGUUUGCAAUCGCCUUAAGCUGCAUUUAAACAUUACAUAAAUCAUCACUGAGCAUAGCAUAACACGAAGCGUUUAAACAGAAGAAAAAUUACAAACUGUUUGCUUUAGCAAACCUGCCGACAUUGGCCUUGGUAAUAUUCUUAGCAUUCGAACACUUGGGACCAUCUCGUAUCCAAGUCAUCUAAACAGACGGUACCUGUAAUAUCAGAACAAAUUUGCACACAUCAGAAGUGAAAACCAAGCUGGCACAAAAUUGUUAGCAUGAACUGAUACUCUCAUAGCUACUUAACAACCUUGGUGGCCAAAACGACGCUCCUCGCUCCUCCCCUGACCUGAGUCUGGGUUCGCUGAACCACUGGAUACAUUUCUGUAAAGUCGAAGAAAUUGAUGCCGGACAGGAAAGCUUGGUCGAGGAGGCCAAACGACUCCAGAAACGUGAUUUGCUCGCCGAAAGUCAUCGUCCCUGCAAAGAAUGAAUUUAUAUUUGAGAAUGAGAGGGAGGGCCAAAGAAUCAGACUCAGAGUCGGUAAGAUUGGGGGUGAGGUUGAAGGGAGGCACCGCCAUUGCUUCGCCUGGGAAGCCCCUUGAGUUUGUCAACUAAGUGGAACGGGAAGGAGAAAAAUCCAAGUAUCUGCUAUAUCGGCGCAAGUUCGGUGAAUUUUCAAGGGUUGGAUAAGAUAAAAACAGAACCGAGUUACUAUCUCUGUGUUCGAAAAAUCGUCCAACAAAUAAAUUUAAAAUAAAAUAAAAUUUCCGCCUAGGCUGGUUGGGUCCUUUUUAUUUUUUUAUUAUUGUUUUUUUGCCUGACUUUAAAUAAGGGCUCGUUUAAAGUCUAACUAUUCCUCCUCCUCUCCAUAUCCCUCCAAGACUAGAGGCCUAGCGUUUCAUUUCAAGUAUUUUUCUUUGUAGUAACUUUUUCCCAUGUUUUAUAUCAAUUAUGUUUUUUUUUAUAAUUUCUAUAUCCUUUUAUUUUGCAUGAUUUCGGUAUAAAAUUAUAAUUUAUAAUACAAAAUAAUUAAUUUCUUUUUUAAAACGCCUAAGCCAGAUUACUCUUCUAGCUGCUAGGCCCCUGCUACUGCCUUGCGAUUUUUCGAACAUUGAUAUCUACAUCUAUAAAAUUCCUCAUUGCACCACAUAAUUGAUACAAAAUAUUUAUUUACUAAAAACCACCCUCAAAUCAAAUUAUUUUUACAUUGACAACUACUUCCUGCUGAUAAUUGAUACAAAUAUUUAUUUACUAGCAUUACCAUUUCCCCUAAAUAAACAAUCUUUAUUACUUUUUCAGAAACAAUUAAAAUAACAUUCAAGAAACAAGAAAAACUAGAGAAAGGAGGUGCACUUAGGGGGAUCUCACAAAACCUUGCCUUGAAAAUUCCAAUAGAGGAAAAUUCAAUCAAGGAAAAAGAGUAUCACACACCUCCCUCAAAAACACUAAGCAUCUUCUCUAUUCGCCACCAGCGUAAACCAACCCAAAACAAUCGCCACCGUUCACGUAAACCGAAGUGAACCAAAAGGUGUGCGGCUUCAUUCCCUUUGCGAGGUUGAUAAAACACUUCACGCACUUGUAAAUGCACCAAUAAAUUCCUCACAUCUUCAACCAGAUUGCCUAGAUUGCUCCAACAUUCGCCAAAUCCAAUAACAAGCGACACUGCCUCUUGAGAAUCAGAAGCCAAAAGAAAAUUUUGGUAACCUCUCCACAAAGCCAUUAACAAACCUUCUAGCAUCGCAGCAAGUUCGGUUCCCAGAACAUCAAGUCCAACAUGUCCAUCACAUGCAAAACCGAAAUAAAACUCACCAUCAUGGUCCAUUUCCCCUUAUUCAUAUCUUAUUAAACUAUUUUCUAUUAAUUUUGGCCAAGAAAAACUAUUUUCCAUUAAUACACUCUUUUAACUUGCUUUCUUUUCCAUUUCCCAAAAUUAAAAGUGGAUUUAGAACGUUUGUAAUAACAAAAUAAGUGAUAAGAGGGCAACUAAUUAUUGUUUAGUUCACAAUUUAAUGUUAGAAAAUCCAUCAAAUCAUUUUGGUAACACUGAAUUAGAUCUUCAAACAUCUAUAAUUUUGAUCUAGAAACCUCAACAUUUUCAUUUUACUUUUCAUUUUCUGAGUAUGACAUCCGUUUAUUUGAAGGGCUAAAAUAAGAGAAUCGAUUUCAUAUAUCUUUAUAUUUUCAGUUUGAUUUCUCAACCGAUAAAUGAUCUUGCAUAACAUAGCAUGUAGAAAUCUUCAGAAAACUUAUGGCACAUUGUACUAUGUGUCUUUAAGUGGGUUCUUUCAAAUUGCAGCAUCCCAACAUGUCCAUGUGUGCCAACUGCUUAAUGAUCCAAUUCCUCUCCAGCAUAAUUAUAUAUACGCACACGUUGGAGUAUUUUUGUUAACUUAUUUCGUGGCUUUUGGGUUAACGUUAAACGGGGUUUUGGCUAAAUAUGUGUCUCUUGAUUGGAGUAAUGGCUACUAGCUUUUAGAUUUCAAAAGUAGUGAAGAUAGAUGAGUUUUGUCAAAAUUAUGGGAUCAUCAAGUGGUAAUUCAGGGUCUAAUUAAUUCAUUUUCAUUCUAAAUUAUGUAGGGGGACGAUGAUGAUUGAUUUUAACAGCAAAAAAGAGUGAUUCAUCACCGCAACUUGAGUAGCCUCUAGUAUAGGACUAAAGCUAGGGGCGGAGCUAUUCAUAGGCCUGAGAUGGCCUGGGCCUCCUUACCAUCUUCUCACCUCUUUAACUGUAUAAAGAGCACAACAUAGAUUGCAAAAAAAAAUCCCAUAGAUUUAAGCUUGUGGCCCCCCCAACAUCAAACUCUACCUCCGCCACUGACUAAAGCAGUCAUUUGAAAAUUGAAAAUGAGCAAUAUUUGGAAAAAGAAAUAGAUGAAUGAUCAAAAUAUCCCUUCCAAAAGUUGCACAAAAAAUCCAUACUAAAAAAAGUGUAGAACAAAAACAAGUUGGUAAGAGGAUGACACAAAUGUAGCUAGUAGCACGAAAUGGAUCGUACGUAUCAGGAGACAAAAAUACACCCUCAUCAUCCUUCAGUUUUGAAGGGAAGCAAAUUAAUAAAGACAUAGAGCAGCAGAGAAGGGAUGAAUGGGUGAAAAGCAUGUACAAAAGGAGACAAAUAGCUGAGAUCACAAUAGUGCUAGCUCCUUCUUCCGUUACUUGCUUCAUCAAAAAACAAGAUGCAAAACCUCAGGUUUUCUCACAGAAAACCACUGCAGAAUUUUUCUUAUAUAUAAUAAUAAUAAUCUACAAGGGACAAAUGCAGCUUCCGGAUUUCCACAAAUCUCAAAACCACUUUGCCUUUUUCUUUUGCUUUAUGUGUAUAUAUACACAUUUAGUGUUAGGGUCCAAAGCAUAGUCCUCCAUACACAAGAAAACAAAAAAAUAAAAAUCCCCCAGAAACAGAAAAAAGCAGAGUGCUCUGCUGAAUUAACUGAAGAUGUGUGCAACAAGAGGAGCUUGGAUCGCAGCGGUUAGUGUUGGAGCUGUUGAGGCUUUGAAAGAUCAAGGCUUCUGCAGAUGGAGUUAUACCAUGAGGUCUUUGUGUAAAAUAGGUAUGAAAAGAUAUUUGACCAGAAUAAUCUUAUUGAUCAUUGAUAUAUGUUUAUAUAAUACAUUCCGUAGGUUUUCCCUAUAAGUAAGCUAACUAGCUAGGAAAGAAUAUAUACGGGAAUCAAAUAAUAUAACAUUCCUAUUCUAUUAUACAAUCCCUAAACUGAAGGGUAAUCUUUGAUUCUCAACACUCCCCCUCAAGUUGGAGAGUGGAUGUCAAGAACUCCCAACUUGCGUGACAUACGAGCGAAAUCAUCUUUGCCCAAUGCUUUGGUGAAGAUGUCUGCUAUUUGCUGGGAAGAAGCAACAUGCUUUGUCGUUACAGAACCAUCUUGGAUUUUGUCUCUAAUAAAAUGACAAUCCAUUUCAAUGUGUCGUGUUCGCUCAUGGAAAACAGGAUUUGCUGCUAUAUGUAACGCAGCUUGGUUGUCGCAAUGAAGUAUCGCUGCCUUCCGAUGUGGCAACUGAAGAUCUCGUAACAAACUACGCAACCAAGUCAGUUCACAACAAGCACCAGUCAUAGCUCUGUAUUCUGCUUCUGCUGAAGAAAGUGAAACAGUUUUCUGUCUCUUUGAUCUCCAAGAAAUCAAGGAGUUUCCGAGAAAAACACAAUAUCCAGUGGUAGAUCUUCUGGUGGUUGGACAACCUCCCCAGUCAGAAUCACAAUAAGCUCGCAAUUUUAAGUCAUUUUGAGCUGGAAAAAAUAAACCUUGUCCUGGAGUGUUUUUGAGGUACUUCAAGAUGCGCAACGCCACCUCCAUAUGAGGUUUACGUGGCUCAUGCAUAAAUCUACUGAGCACAUGCACUGCAUAUGUAAUGUCUGGUCUCGUGAUGGUCAAGUAAAUCAAACGACCCACUAACCUCCUGUACUUGGCUGGAUCUUUAAGCAAUUCACCUGUGUCAGAUAAUUUCAAAUUUUGUUCCAUGGGAAAUAAGACAGGUCGUACCCCAAGAAAACCACUAUCUUUAAGGAUGUCAAUGGUGUAUUUCCUCUGAGAGAUGCUAAUGCCUUUCUUUGAACGCGAAACUUCAAUACCCAAAAAGAAUUUAAGGUCACCGAGAUCCUUAAUGCGGAAGCGGGUAUGAAGAAAACGUUUAAGAGAAUUAAUGGCACCCAAGUUAUUUCCUGUGAUCAAUAUAUCGUCAACAUAAAUCAAGAGAGCAAUGAAUGACUUUCCUCUGUUGCACGUGAAUAAGGAAUAGUCUGCUUUGGACUGAGUAAAACCAGCAGCUUGAAUAGCUUCAGAAAAUUUUGCAAACCACUGACGAGAAGCUUGUUUUAGGCCAUAUAAAGACUUGUGGAGGCGACAUACCAGAUUCUCCCCCUGUCGCUGAAGACCAGGCGGUGGUGUCAUAUAAAUCUCUUCAUGGAGAUCCCCAUGAAGGAAGGCAUUAUGGACAUCUAAUUGAUGAAGGGGCCAAGAGGAAGCAGCAGCAAGUGCAAGAAGGCUGCGAACAGUAACCAUCUUGGCGGUAGGAGAAAAAGUAUCAUGAAAAUCAACACCCUCUGUCUGUGUAUAACCCUUGGCGACUAACCGAGCUUUGUACCGUUCAAUAGAUCCAUCAGAAUGAUGUUUGAUCUUGUAGACCCACCGACAACCAAUAGGGUGCUUGCCAGGAGGAAGAGGAGUAAGAGUCCAUGUAUGAUUGGUCUCUAAAGCUUGAAGUUCAGAGCGCAUGGCUUGCUGCCAGUUAGGAUCAGAAUUGGCCUCAGAGAAGGAACGGGGCUCCACACUGUGACUGAUGUGAGUAAUGAAAGCAAGAUGUGCUGGUGUAUAUCUGUGAUAAGAAAUAAAGUUGCUCAAGGGAUAACGAGUACCUGAGGUGCGAUGUGAAGACGAAGACUCCGAUUGGACAUCGUUGGGUAGCGUGACUUGAGAGCAAACAUAGUCUUGGAGGCGCACAUUCGGAACCUUGUGACGUUCAGAUUGGCGAGUGGGUUGAACGGGUGGUGCCGGUGAAGGUGGUGCAGUAGGCGGAAGAGAAGAUGGGAUUGCAAGAGGAUCUGGUGCUGGAAGAGGAAGAUCUGCAGAAGGAGGCGCAAAAGGAGUGGAACUCAUUGGACUAAUAGGCAAAGUGUGCUCCGUGGGUUCAGGAGCUAGAUUGGAAUUUUGUGGUGGAGAUGAGUCAUGGGCUGAAAUGGGUAAAGGAAGGCUAGUGUUUGGGAUGGUGGUGGGACCAGCUGUUGGAGUAGAAAAAGGGAAGACAUCUUCCUUAAAUAAAACAUCUCGGCUAGUGAAUAUUUUUUGAGUGGACAAAUCAUAGAGUUUAUAUGCCUUUUGACCAAGUGGGUACCCAAUAAAAAUGGAUUUAAUUGCUCGAGAAUCAAACUUUUUGGUAGGGUGGACUAUAGUAGCAUAUGCAAGGCAGCCAAAUACUCUUAAAUGUGAAUAUGAUGGGGUUUUGUGAUAUAAACGUUCAAAAGGGGUUUGUUUGGAAAGAACUAAAGUGGGAAAUCGAUUAAUCAAAUGAACGGCAGUGAGAAUGCAGUCCCCCCAAAAACGGAGAGGCAAGUGUGCUUGAAAUCGCAAAGCACGUGCGGUCUCAAGAAUAUGACGGUGCUUACGUUCGACAACACCAUUUUGUUGGGGUGUGUAGAUGCAAGAAUGUUGAUAAAUGAUGCCUUGUUCUUUAAAAAAAUCUCGCAAUGAAGAAAAUUCACCCCCAUUAUCUACCCUAAUUGCUUGGAUUGUAGCAGUGAAUUGGGUCUGAACCAUGGAAAAAAAAGAUUUUAGAAUCCCUUGUGUUUCAUGCUUAUGAUGCAUAAGGAAAACCCAGGUAAAGCGAGAAUAAUCAUCCACUAUAGUUAAAAAAUAACGACCCCCAGAAAGGGAAGGAACUUUGUGAGGUCCCCAAAUAUCACAAUGAAUAAGGGAAAAAGGUUUUGAAGUUGAAAUUGAACUAAUGCCAAAAGGAAGGCGAGUUUGUUUAGAAAAAUGGCAAGCAUCACAAACAUUAUGGAAAGAAAAUGAACAAUUCAAAUGUUUUGCUAAAAAUUGUAAACGAGAGGAUGAAAUAUGCCCUAAACGGCGAUGCCAUAAAUCUCCAGGAGUUGUAACCAGGUGACAGGAAGGUUGGAUGGUGGAUGGUGUUCUGUCAGACGCCAACGCCACAAGGUAGUAGAGCCCAUCACGCUCCUUACCCAAACCAAUCAUCGUCCUCGUCUUCAAAUCCUGUAAAAUACACCAAGUGGGAAAGAAAAUUACUGAGCAUUGUAAUCCUUUCGUAAGUCGACUUACGGACAUCAGAUUAACUUUAAAUGUAGGCACACAUAGCACAUCUCGUAAAUAAAAAUAUGAGUUCAAAGGAAGAGUCCCAGUAGAUGCAAUUGGCGCUGUUUCUCCACUAGGCAUAGUGACUGGCAACAUAGAGGAAGUAUUCAUCCUCUUGGUAAGGAAUUUCGAAUCUGAUGUAAUAUGAUGAGUUGCUCCACUAUCAAUUAUCCAAUGUAAAUUGGGUAACAAUUCGGAAAUACCUGAAGAAGCUGAGGCGGUAUUGGCUUGUGGUGCAAUGUGGGAUGGAUUAGUGUUGUCACUCAUCAUCGCAUGAAUUUUCUUACAUUGAUCCUCGGAUAAAGAUGGCAUAGCUGUGUGAAUCUCCUGCAAGGAUGGACCAUUGGAUGCCACAUUAUUGGCGGAACUGCUGCUACCUUUCCCUUUACCUUUCCCGGAUUUGUGAAGCCUGUGUCCAGGGGGAUAGCCAUGUAGCUUGUAGCACUUGUCCACUGUAUGGUGAUCCUGAUCGCAAUGGCUGCAGUGAAGAGGUUUGCGCCCAGAAGAAUUUGAACGCUGAUUGUUUCGAACUGCCAUAGCUGCUGGUUCGGUGAUUGCUUGGCUGGAACCUAAGUCACGCUGCUUUUCUUCUUGGGUGAUCAAAGAAUAAGCCUUGCGAACCUUAGGGAGAGGCUGCAUAAGAAGUAUUUGGCCUCGAAUGGCGCUGUAGGACUCAUUAAGCCCCAUAAGGAACUGCAUCAACGAGUUUCGUUCCUCCUGUUCGACAUGCUUCUUCAUGGCACCGCAAGAACAAGCUGGGACGUCGCUGUAAGAAGACAGCUCGUCCCACAGACUCUUCAUCUUGGUAUAAUAAACAGCAACAGACAUCUGCUCCUGUGAGAGGGAAGCUAUGGUGCGUUGUAUCUCGAAAAUACGAGGAGCGUUAAGUUGGGAAAAACGUUCUUUAAGGUCCUCCCAAAUCUCUUGUGCGGUGGAGGAGUAUAACACGCUUUCUGCAAUAUCUGGUUCUAUCGAAUUGAGCAGCCAAGAUAAAACCAUGUCGUUGCAACGCUGCCAAACCUCAAAAGUCUCAGGAUUAGUUUUCUCCGAAGGGACUUUGAUUGUCCCAUUCACGAACCCCAAUUUGUUCUUCGCGCUUAGGGAGAUGCGCAUAGAGCGGCACCAUGUCGCAUAAUUGUUUCCAUUAAGGAUUUUGGAAACAAGAACCAUUCCAGGAUGAUCAGAAUGGUGAAUGAAAAAGGGAUCGGAAGCAUCGUUUUUGCUUCCCGAUGCAGCGGAUUCUUGGUCUUUGGUCAUGGUGGCAGCGUCAAGGAGAGGAUGAAAAUUAAGGUUGAAAGGUGACUAUUUGACAAGUGCGGCUAGAGCCAAGAGCUAGAGUUUCCUCUGCUCUGAUACCAUGUAAAAUAGGUAUGAAAAGAUAUUUGACCAGAAUAAUCUUAUUGAUCAUUGAUAUAUGUUUAUAUAAUACAUUCCGUAGGUUUUCCCUAUAAGUAAGCUAACUAGCUAGGAAAGAAUAUAUACGGGAAUCAAAUAAUAUAACAUUCCUAUUCUAUUAUACAAUCCCUAAACUGAAGGGUAAUCUUUGAUUCUCAACACUUUGAUCCAGCAUGCCAAGAACAAUAUGAGAUCAUUCUUACAAGCCAAGGAACUCUCUUCUUCUUCUUCUGCUAUGGUUUUGAACAAAAUGAAUUCUGAACAGAAGAACCAAGCUGAGGAUUCUCUAAGAAAAGUCAUGUACUUGAGCUGUUGGGGUCCUUAUUGAAAUCCCUCCAACAUUAUAGGUAGUUGAGGAUGUACCACUUAGAUUUUAUUUUUGAAACUGAGUUUAAGCUGUAUAUACAUGAUUUGAAUGUAUAUUUUCCCAACCCAACAACAAGAAAAUCCCAGAUUUUGAUGUUUACCAAUGAACAUGAACGUUGGUUUUUCAGUCAAACAACUAACCAGUUGAAAUUAUCACAAAGCCAAAAACAAAGAACCAACUAGUUGAAAUUUAUAUCAGUUAGGUGCAACAAGAACACAAUCUCAUCCUAUUGAUCAUCGUUGACAAAAUUCAAGUACAAAAGUAAUGUAAAAAUCCGAAGGGUUCGUUUAGAUCAAAAUCUUAGAGCAUUACGUUUUUCAAAUAUAAAAUGAACACACACCAGACAUGUUGAUAUUCCAUCUUAUUAGUCAUCUAAUUCAUCAACUAUAUAUGACGCUUUUAUCACAAACUAAAUAACUAACUCUUAAUUUAAUGAUAUUUCAUUUAAAAAAAAGAAAGAGAAUCCUCAUUAAUUUAGUAUAUUAUGUUUCUUCUUCAUCAAAUACCAAUUGAUACUCAAUCGACAUACAUCCAUGUGUGACAAUCAUGUGAACUCUAAUAUGAUCACUUCUCCAACAAGAGUGAUGGAAAUUUAGAGGAAACAUUCUAGUUUUUUUGGGGCAGCAGAUGUUAGGGACACUCAUCCGUUCAUCCAUGUGUGAGAAUAAUAUGAGCUCCAAAGAAGUUGAAGUUCCACUCAAAAUUAAUUUGAAAAAAAUAAUCCAACUUUUUAUGAAUUGUUACUAAAAUAUUCAACCAUUCAAUAUGAGACAUUUUCAUUUUCGCAUUUUCACAGUUACAUUUUCAACUAGCACGCAAACAAGUAAACUACUGGUUUCACUCCCAGACUGCUACUACUAGCCCACAGUCCAAAAUAAAGUGACGAGAGACUGUUUCUGUCUUUUGGCCCACACUUCAGAUCAAACAAGCAAACAAAUGGUUUCACUCCCAUACUUCCUAAAUACAAUAAUUUAAAUCAAAACCAUGUGCCCAUGAGGCAACAAAACUCUGUGCUUAUCCAAACUCCAGAAUAUUAAAUUCCACUUUUACCCCUGCCUAGUACAUCAUAUUGCCUCCAUCCGCAUGUACAAAACAGUAAUAUCUCCAAAUAUAGUGUAACAUCCACAUACCUUACCAAAAGAAACAGAAGAAAACAAAACCAGCUCUGGUUUCUUGCCACAAGCCCACCUUUUAAAAAAAAAAUUCCCCUAUAUGGGGAGCACCUCAAGAUCAUCUUCUCCAUCAAUACACUCAAACAUUCACAUUCACAUUCACUACUGAAGAGAAGAAAUCAUAAUCGUGAUGAGUUCAUCAAGUGCAAGCAAGGCUAUUGUGGCAGCAAGUGUUGGAAUUGUGGAGGCAUUGAAGGACCAAGGGAUAUGCAGGUGGAACUCUGCUUUAAGAUCUGUGCACCAGCAAGCCAAAACCCAACUCAGGUCAUUGUCUCAGGCCAACAACAAGCUCUCAUCUUCUUCUGCUUCAGCUGCUUUCAGUAAAGUCAGAGAUGAGAAGCUGAAGAAAUCAGAGGAGUCUUUGAGGACAGUCAUGUACUUGAGCUGCUGGGGUCCCAACUAAUUCAAUCAGCACAGAGACAGAGAGCAAAAAGAUCAGAAUUUUGCGCAAGAGGUUGCUGAAAUGAAGCUUGGGCAUGAACAUAAGGAUGAAACAAGAUUACACAACCCAUGAAAGGGCUCCUUGAGUUUUAUAUAUAUCAAAUGAUCAGGAUAUGUAAACUUGUUGGGUUACAUACUACUGGCAAAGGCAAUCGUUGUAAAUGGCAGACAGUUCAUUCAUGUCUGCUUGCUUGCUUGGGGCAAGUUGAUGUAAAUUACCACAUAAUGCAAAAGCACACAUAUUUCUGAGCAAUUGAUGCCUUGAUCAUUCUUUUCGAGUUUUUCUUUUUGCCCUUUCUUAUUAAUCCAUUAUUUACUUCGUUUUAACUGAAGGAUUUAUGAUACUAUAAAUUUGAGUAUUUAGUAGUGAAACAUAAUUGAGUUGCCCUAAUUGGGUAAAAUCCAUUGUGUUGAAUGGUUUCUUUCUCCAACAAAAGCUAUAGCCCAACACAUCCCAUGGUUUUUCCCACAUUUUAUGGGGUUUCCUUCCUCCUAUUCAUCCUCUGCUUUCGUUUCAAGUAAGCUCAGCUGCUGAGGUCCCGGUUGAAUAUUAAUUCAGCUUGUUUGUUAGAUCCCCUGAAUUCUCUAUGAUAUAUACAAUUGAUUAUUCUAUGCACCAGAAACUUAAACAUUAAUCAAGCUACUUAUUAAUGUUUAAGUUUUUAUGCUAACACACAUUUUAUAUCAAAUGAGUGUUGUUGGUGCUCUCAGAAAUGGUGAGAGGUACCUCUUCUUUUUGUAUUUUUGUUCACCACUCUUAAUUAGCGAUGAGUAAUACCAUCACGUUAAUUAUUGUGCAAGAAAUUCAUGUAAUUGUCGUGGAGGAAAUUCAUGUAAUAUGUAGAUUAAAUCAUACUCAUCAAAUGAAAAUUAACCUAAUUAUAAUGCUCACUAUUUCUUUAAUGAUAUGUCAACACAUAGUAGACUCAUGCCUAUAAUUAGUCGAAGCAAAUAGAGAGAAGGAAAGACACUAUAAUGUUUGUUUUUCCGCCCACGGUCCACACCAGACCAAGUAAACAAAUAGUUUCACUCCUACAUUGUGUUUGAAAUAGAUGCGCAAGAGGCAGUAAAUAGAAUCAAUUCUGACAAAGAGUGUUUUGAAGCAGAAGAGAACUUGGUGGAAGAUAUUAAGGAGAUGCGGUUGUGGUUUAGAUCUUUCUCGUGUGAACAGCAGUGAUGGGAUGGUAAUGUAGUUGCUCCUGAGCUAGCCCAAUAUGCUAUUAGAAACACAAACAUGGAUUGAGGAGAAGCCUCCUUGGUUGAGUUCUUUGCUUGCUGCAGAUUUAAGAGCUACUGGUUGAUUUAUAUAUUCGACAUCAAGUGGGAGGCCUUUUUUUACCUUUGGCGGAUUUUCCUCUUUUUUGGGGUUUUUUUAUGCCAACGAUUUUUUACAAAGGCCCAAACUGUUAACGUGAGUUAACCUACUAAAUCAAGGAGAUUUAUUUCCUAAGUUAAUUAGGUGAUUUACUUCAUUGUUUUAUAUAAUUGACACAUCCUUGUAUAAUUAGGAGAUAUUCUCCUAAUUAAUUACUGUAUCUAUUUCUUUAUGAAGUACCCUUGUAAAGUCCUAUAUAUACCUCCUUAUGGAGAAGAAUACAAUUAACCUAAAGUAUUCAAACCAUAUUCAUAUUUUAGCAUGGUAUAAGAGCAAUCUAUCCUAGGUUGUCUCUAAGCCCUCAAAUCAUACCCUCAAAUUCAAACCCAAACCCUAAAUCAAAUUCCUUACCUCCCAAAUCAAAUCCUCUUAUCAAACUCCUUAAACACAUACCUCUCAAAUCAAAUUCCUAAAUCAAAUUCAUACAUCAAAUUCCUCAAAUCAAAAUCCUCAAAUUCUCAAAUAAACUCCUUAACCACAAACACACACUCAUAUCAAAUGUUACUUCUGCUGCAAUGCCAGGACCCCCUACGAUUCUCUCCCUUCUUGCAAACUCACAGAAGCAUGCGAUCAAUCGUGUUAAACUGGCUACCCAGGCUCGUGCUUCUAUCACUACCACCAAAGGUUCUGCUUUUCAUAUGUCCUCUCCAAAGCCCACAUGAAUUAUUGACUUGGGUGCUAUGUAUCACAUGACAUUUGAUCCUGGCCAACUUAUUAGUCGCAAACCAUCCACUCAGUCGGUAGUGUCUAAUGCUAAUGGUAUCCUCUCCCAUGUGGUUGGAGAUGACUCUCUAUCUCUCUCUAACUCCAUACAUAUGGAUUCUGUAUUGAUUGUCCCAUUCUUGGACCAUAACUUGUUGUAUGUUGCACAACUUACUACUACUUUGAGGUGUAUUGUAAUAUUUUGGACAAAUCAUUGUGUUUUUCAGAACAUUCUCACGAGGAAGACGAUUGGUUGUGAUACUAGGUGGGGCAAACUCUACUACUUGGACUAGGCAUCGGAUAGUGAGACCAAGGUUGGUCAAGCUUUCACAACAAGUGGAGCUAGUUCUGAGAGGCAAAGAGACAAAGUUUGGUUAUGGCAUAAAUGUCUUGGGCAUGCCUCAUUUGGUUAUCUAAAGAAGCUGUUUCCAUCAUUAUUUUUCAGUUUUGAUGUUUCUAGCUUCCAGUGUGAUACGUAUGAAUUAGUUAAGAGCCAUCGUGUUCCUUUCCCAUUAAGUACAAAUAAAAGUUUGGUUCCAUUCUUCCUUAUUCAUUAUGAUGUUUGAGGGCUUGCUUAAAUCACUACUCCGGUUGGAGCUUGAUGGUUUGUCACCAUCACUGCGCACGAAUGACUUGGGUUCUCCUUCUCAAAACCAAAGGGGAAGUCAGUUUAACAUUUCAAUAGUUCUAUAAAAUAGUGGCAACUCAGUUUCAUGCCAAAAUCCAGGUUUUCCAUUUUGACGAUGGCGGCAAAUUUCUUAAUUAUAAUCUCAACAAAUUUUUACAAGAUCAUGGCAUCAUACAUCAACGCUCGUGUUCAUAUACUCCCCAACAAAAUGGGGUGGUUGAGCAAAAGAACCAACAUUGAUUGGAAGUCGUUCGUGCAUCUUUAUUUGAUACCAACAUGCCUCGGAAGAACCAACAUGUGAACCCUAAACCCUAACAUGAUCACUUCGCCAAUAAGAGUGAUGGAAAUUUGGAGGAAGCAUUCUUUUUUUUGGGGGGGGAGUGGGGGGGGGGGGGGGGGGGGGGGGGGGCGGCGGGCGCAAAUGUUAGAGACACUUGUCCAUCCAUCCACAUGUGAGCUUUACAUAAUUGUUGGAGGAAGUUGAGAUUUCAUUCCAAAAUUAAUUGGUAAUGGGGCAAGUAGUCCAACUUCACGCAAUUUCUCAACUAUCCAAUGUGAUAUAUAAUCAUGUGAGCUUUACGUAAUUAUUGAAGGAAGUUGCGAUUUCACUCCAAAAUUAAUUAGUAAUGGAGAAAAUAGUUCAACUUCAUACAAUUGAUCAACUAUCCAAUAUGAGACAUUUUCACUACUACAAACAAGUAAACUACUGGCCAGAAGCUGCUACCAAAAUAAAGUGACGAUACGAGAGACUCUGUUUCUGUCUUUUGGUCCGCUCUCCAAAUCAAACAAGCAAACAAAUGGUUUCACUCCAAUACGGCGGGCCUAAAUACAAUAAUUUAAAUCAAAACCAUGUGCCCAUGAGGCAACAAAAAUUCUGUGCUUAUCCAAACUCCAAAAUAUUAAAUUCCACUUUUACCCCUGCCUAGUACAUCAUAUUCCCUGCAUCUGCAUGUACAAAACAGUAAUAUCUCCAAAUAUAGUGUAAAACAUCCACAUACCUUACCAAAAGAAACAGGAGAAAAACAAAACCAGCUCUGGUUUUUCGCCACAAGCCCACCUUUUUUUAUUAGAAAUCCCCUAUAAAAAGAGCACCUCAAGAUCAUUUUAUCCAUCAGUACACUCAAACAUUCACAUUCACAACUGAGAAGUUCAAAGCAUCAAAGAGAGAUCAGUAAGGAAGAGAAAAGAAAUCAUAAUCGUGAUGAGUUCAUCAAGUGCAAGCAAGGCUAUUGUGGCAGCAAGUGUUGGAGUUGUGGAGGCAUUGAAGGACCAAGGGAUAUGCAGAUGGAGCUCUGCUUUAAGAUCUGUGCACCAGCAAGCCAAAACCCAACUCAGGUCAUUUUCUCAGGCCAACAACAAGCUCUCAUCUUCUUCUGCUUCAGCUGCUUUCAGUAAAGUCAAAGAUGAGAAGCUGAAGAAAUCAGAGGAGUCUUUGAGGACAGUCAUGUACUUGAGCUGCUGGGGUCCCAACUAAUUCAAUCAGCACAGAAACAAGCGCAAAAAGAUCACAUUUCUGUUGAGGCUUUGAAAGAUCAAGGCUUCUGCAGAUGGAGUUGCACCACCAUGAGGUCUGUGCACCAGCAUGCCAAGAACAAUAUGAGUUCUUUCUUACAAACCAAGGAACUCUCUUCUUCUUCUUCUUCUGCUAUGGUUUGAACAAAAUGAAUUCUGAAGAGAAGAAUCAAUUAAGAAAAGUCAUGUACUUGAGCUGUUGGGGUCUUUAUUGACACAAAUUGGAGCUCAUGGUGAAGUCCCUCAAGAUUUGAAGAUUUUUGAGACUGAAUUGAAGCUGUGUACAUUAUUUGAAUGUAAAUUUUCCCAAUCAACCAAAAAAACAAGAAAAUUUAUGUUCUUUGGUUUUUAUCAAUGAACAUUGGAUCUAUUAAUUAGACAAUUCUCGACCAGGUUAACCUUAGCUUACUGUAUCAUUGGUACUUAUUUGGAAUUCUAAUUCAAUACAUGUUGGUUUUAUUAAUGGUUCCUCCUUCAAAUAGAGAUGCUUUUGGUUCUAUUUUUCAGUCAAUCAACUAACCAGAUGAGAUUAUCACAAAACAAAAAACAGAGAACAAACCAGUUGAAAUUUAUUAGUUAGGGGCAACAAGAACACACAAGGUUAUCUCAUCCUAUUGAUCAUUGUUUGCAAAAUAAAAAGGCAGACGGUUCAUUUCGAUCAACCAAAACUUUAAAAACUAACUCUUAAUAUAGUGAUGUGAAAACUAACUCUUAAUAUAGUGAUAUUUCACUUAGAAUGAAGAAAGAGAAUCCUCAUUUACUUUACAAAGGGUUAUGAAGCGUUUAACAAAAGGCCUUGUCAUUUGGUCAAGGUCAACACAGUCUUGUUUAGUGGAAAAGAACCAUAAUCUUGUUCAGUGGAAAAGGACCAGAGUCUUGUUUAGUGGAAAAGGUCACUGAACAAGGAUCUGAGUCUUGUUUAGUGGAAAAGGACCAGAGUCUUGUUAGUAUUGUUAAAUGGAAAAAUGACCUGACUUACAGGCUAAUUGUCCCAAUUUCAAACUUCUAUGAUACAGUUGACAAUAUGUGUAGGAGAACACCUCCCUCCGGCAAUAUCACUUAUAUAAAACAAGCCUUAUGAUGUGUUUAAGUCCGGCUCAUAGUUUGUGCAGGCUGGACGAUGGCACAGGGCCCCCAAAUAUUUGAGGCUCCAAUUUUUUUUCUAGCCCACUUCUAAAAGAAACCCAAAAAAACCCUUCAUUUAUCUACAGUUUAAUUUUUUAAAAUAAACCCUUUAUUCCUUUUGACAAUAAGACCAAAGAAAGGAAAAUAGGGAGCCUUUUGACUAAAGAAAACGGGCCCCCCUGUUUUCAAUUUCCUAACCCAACAAUUUUAAGUUUGUUGUAAAGUUUAGAGUGGAGACUAGGGCUGGGCACGGUUCGGUUUGGACCGGUUUCGGGGAAAAAAUAGAACCUGAUCCGAUAGUGCAGACCGGUUCAGUUUGGACCGGUUCUGCUCAACAUCCAUACAGAAAUCCGAACCAAACCAGACCUGUCCGAUUCCGGUUCGGUUCCUGCGGUUCCGGUUUUUUUUUAUUUUAUUAUUUUUUUAUAAUUUAAAAUUUAACAAAUCUGCCCAAAAUGUAUUUAUAUACUAACAUACCCCAAAUUUGAGGUUCCAUCAAGCUUUCAACACAUCAAAAUGAAUCCAACUUCAACAAAAAUACAAUCCAAAUUCAAAUGAAUCCAACUUAAACAAAAAUUCAAUCCAAAUUCAAUCCAACUUCAACAUCAUCAAAAUGAAUCCAACUUCAACAAAAAUACAAUCCAAAUUCAAAUGAAUCCAACUUCAACAAAAAUUCAAUCCAACUUCAACAUCAUCAAAAUGAAUCCAACUUCAACAAAAAUACAAUCCAAAUUCAAUCCAACUUCAACAUAUAAAUUACAACCCAAAUUAAAUCAAACUUCAACAAAAUAAGUUCCAAAAUAAAUUACUAGCCAAAUACAACCCAAAUUCAACCAAAUAUACAUUACAACCCAAAUUAAAUUCCUCCUAACAUUGGAAAGUAGUUGGAGCUAUGGUGCUAGGUGUGGAUGAACUCAUAAUAUCUACAUAAAAAAAAUCAAAGGAUCAACAUACUCACAUUAACACUUUGAUUUACAACCCACUUCCACUUGUUGGGUUUGUUAAACCAAUAUAUCCAUUUCUUAGGACAAUUCUAUCUCUUAGGAAAGCCUCUGAUCAUGAUUCUGCUCUGGACUAAUAAAAAAAAUCAAAGACUUCCAUUAAAAACAGAAACUUCAGUUUUGUUAAACAAUUUAGGCAGGAACACUUUGCCUUUGGGAAAUCAUUAAAAAUCCAUUUUGAUUCAAAAUGGUGUGAACAUUUCCAGAUCACACGUAGACAUAUAAAACUUCAACAUAUCAAAAGUUCAUCGAAUUCCGAGUUAAGGAAGCCAGUCAAAGACUAAAUCCAAAAUAGACUAGGCUGCAGAGUUUUCUAUUUUCUGCAGAAUAAUGCCAACUUCGAAAAUUUGCCAAAUUGAAUUGGAUUAGUACAAUUGUAAAAAAUAAACAAUUGCAUUAAUAAAUUUGCCAAAUAAAUCUACUAAAUUAUAAACUGUUUCCAAACCAAAGAGUACAUUAAGUCUUGCAGUAAAAAAAGUCUGGUAGAGUUGUAUAUAUCAAUGUCAUGUAUAUGUAGGAAAAGGAAAUUACCUAAUUUCUCAGUGUGGCGAACAUCAUCAACCAGCAAAACUCUGUAACUAUCCCUACUCCCAAUACCUCUCUUGUCCUUGAGUCGUCCAAUAUCUCCUCCUGUAAUUUCAACAUUAAAUAAGGCAGAAGAAUAGUACAGUACAAUGCUACAUUGCAAUUGGGUUUUCUAAUAUGUUUUUCUCCCCCUUUUCAUAACAAAUCUCAACUAUUGAAUACAAAACAAAAAUCCCAGAUGAGAAAAAUCAAGACAGUUGAAGGAUAAAUGAUAAAGUAGGUACCUUGUUCAAGCUGGGUAGCAGGGUCAAAUUGGGAUUGGUCAAACUUUGGGCGCUCCAAGACCCCAGCACCACCCUUGGAAGACCUAAACCUGGCCUUCACAGCCAUGCCAGAGAGAGUCAGAAAAUUGAAUUGGGGAAAGAAAAAAAAAAGGAGAGAGAUAGAGAGAGAAUCUGACCUGCAAUGCAACGACUGAGAGGCUAAGAGAAGAGCGGCGGCAGAGAGGGGUGUGACUGUGACGUGCUGGUUGAGAGAGAGGUUUGGAAUCGGUGGCUGGUGGCUGGCUGGCGGCUGGCUGAGUGAGUAUGAAACUAAAUGGGAAGGAGAGGAAAGAACGAAGAAUGAAAAAACCCAAUCUGAAUUUGGUGUAAUCCUGUGUGUGCGCUACCUAUGGUAGCAGCAUACACAACCAAUCAAAAUUUGACAGGUAUGAAAAUAUAUAUAAUUUCAAAUAUAAAUAUAUAUAAUAUUUAAAAAAUAUAUAAAUUAAUUCUAUUGGACCGGUUCGGAUUGGACCGGUUCCUUAGGAUGGAAAACCGGAACCGGAACCGGUCUGAACCGGUUCGGUUUGGAUUUUUCUCGAUUUUUGACUUUUUUGGUCAACACGGUUUUUUUCGGUUUUUUCCGGAUUGGUUUGGUUCGGUUUUGCGGUUUUGCGGUUCAAAUGCCCACCCCUAGUGGAGACCACAUAUUUAGAAAAAAUGAAGCAUGUCAUGAUGAAGGUGUUGAAGAAUUGGAUCCACAUAUUAGAAGGAAUGAUUACAUAUCCAUGUGAAGUUAUCAACUUUGCCUGUAAACGGGCUUCAUCCUUCCCUUGCAUGAGACUACAAUUAGAGAAGGAAGAGAGAGAGCUCGGAGAGAAAGAAGAGAAGGAAAGAAAGAGGGUGAGUGAGCGGAGAGAAAAAUGAGAGCAGUGAGAAAUUCUCCAAGAGAGAAAAAAAUCAGUGAGCCACAUAUAUUGUAAAUAUUAAAGUUGUAACCCUAUUAUUUGAUAUAGUGGAAAAGUUAUAACUGCUGCUCUUCGAGGACGUAGACAAGGCCGAACCUCGUUAAAUGUUGUGUCUCAUCUACUUUACUUUAUCUCACAUAUUCCAGUUAUUUAAUAACAAAGUUGGAUGUUUUAUGCAAGCUUUGGAAUUUGAAGGCAUGAUUAUAAGAAAUUUAUAAAAUCAGGUGAAUUCCUAAUUUUUUUUAAUUUUUUAUCUAAUGUGAAUGAAUUUUGUACUUUAAAUUAUGACUUUUAGAUUUACCCUUAAAUUUUUCCCUUAAAAAUCCACUAUGAAUGAGAAAAUAAUAUUGUUUUGUUCAUAACUUUGUCAUUAACAUUUUUUCUUCUAUGAGAAUAUCAUAACAUUUUGUACUUGUAUAUAAAAGGCCUCAAUAUCACUCGUUAUACAGAGCCUCCAAAAUCAAUAAACCGCCGGGAUGUAUUUCUUACUAAUUGAUACUCAACCGAUGUGCAUCUACCUGUGACAAUCAUGUGACUGUUCUGUCGUUUGGCCCACACUCCAAAUUAAACAGGCAAACAAAUGGUUUGACUCCCACACCGCAGGCUAAAAUACAAUAAUUCAAAUCAAAACCAUGACCCAUGAGGCAGCAAAACGUUGUGCUUAUCUGAAUAUCCCAAUCCAUCUGCACGUACACAACAGUGAUAUCCCAAUCCAGACAUACUUCUGGAAACAGAAGAAAACAAAACCAGCUCUGUUUUUUUGGUUACAAGCACACCGUUUUUUCUUUUUAUAAUCUCGUAUAUAAAGAGAGAGUAAAAUUUUCGAAACAAUACCCUUAUUUCCAUGUCUUCCAGCUACUUUAUCACCUACUUUGAUUUCACGUUACUCAUUAUCAUCUUCUCCAUCAAUAAUACACUCAAAACAUUCACAUUCACAGCUGAGGAGUUCAAAAGAUUUAAGAGAGAAAUAGUAGAGAGGAGAAAAGAAAUCAUAAUCAUGAUGUCAAGUACAAGUGUUGGAGUGGAGGCAUUGAAGGAUCAAGGGAUAUGCAGAUGGAACUCUGCUCUAAGAUCUGUGCACCAACAAGCCAAAACCCAACUCAGGUCAUUUUCUCAGCUCUCAUCUUCUUCUGCUUCAGCUGCUUUCAGUACAGCCGGAGACGAAAAGCUGAAGAAAUCAGAGGAGUCUUUGAGGACAGUCAUGUACUUGAGUUGCUGGGGUCCCAACUAAUUCAAUCAGCACAGAGACAAGAGCAAAGAUAUCAGAUUUUUGUGCAACCGGUUGCUGAACUGGAGCUUGGGCAUGAACAGAAGGAUGAAACAAGAUGACACAACCCAUGAAAGGGCUCCUGGAGUUUUAUAUAUAUCAAAUGAUCAGGAUAUAUAAACUUGUUGGGGUUACAUACUGGCAAGCAAUCGUUGUAAAUGGCAGAUAAUUCAUUCAUGUCUGCUUGCUUGCUUGGGACAAAUUUAUGUAAAUUAUGUUAUGACAAUUACCUAUAAAUUUGAGUAUUUAGCAGUGAAACAUAAUUGAGUUGCCCUAAUUGGGUAAAAUCCAUUGUCUUGAAUGGUUUCUUUCUCCAACAAAAGCUAUAGCCCAACACAUCCCAUGGUUUUUCCCACAUUUUUAUGGGUUUCCUUCCUCCUACAUUCAUCUCUGCUUUGGUUUCAAGUAAGCUCAGCUGCUGGGGUCCCGAUUGAAUAUUAAUUCAACCUUGUUUAUUUACAAAAUGACUGUGAAUUGUAUAUCCCUGAAUUCUCUAUGAUAUAUACAAUUGAUUAUUCUAUGCACCAGCAACUUAAACAUUAAUCAAGCUACUGUGGUUUUGGUCAGAACGAAAACAUUAAUUUUUAGUGUAAAAAGGUUUUAUGCCUACACACAUUUCAUAUUAAAUUGAGUGUUGAUGGUGCUCUCAAAAAUGGUGGCAGGUGCCGUAGGUACCUUCCUUUUUAUAUUUUUGUUCACCACUCUUAAUUGACGGUGAGCAAACCCAUCACGUUUAUUGUCGUGGAGGAAAUUCAUGUAAUAUGUAGAUUAAAUCAUAUUCAUCAAACAUGUAAUAUAUAGAUUAAAUUAUACUCAUUAAACAAUAAUUAACCUAAUUAUAAUGCUCACUAUUUCUUUAAUGACAUGUCAACACAUAGUAGACUCACGCCUAUAAUUAGCCAAAGCAAAUAGAGAGAAAGAAAGACACUAUUGUUAUACAACUAAAAUAAUCAGAGAGUAUGAGAAGUACCACUAAAUAUUGGGAGUAUAUUGGGAGUGGAAUUAUAUUUGCUCUUUGUGGUGUUUACACUGACAGAAUUUCUUCUCAGAUAGAACUCAUUCUCUCUUUUCUUCUCUGACUCUGACUCUCUUCUCUUCUAAUUGGUUGUGUAUUUUACAACUUAAAAGGAAGCCUAUUUAUAGGCAAUUAGAAUGGCCUCCCGUGGAUGCAUCUUCAACAUUUUCUCUCAACAUCAUCAUUCAUCCCAACAUCAUAAUUUCAUCUUUUGACUAAUACUCCCUUACUUUAUUCAUGUGGCCUUCACUUCUUACUUUAUAACAACUAUAAUGUUUGUUUUUCUGCCCACGGUCCACACCAAACCAAGUAAACAAAUAGUUCCACUCCUACACUGCGAGCCUAAAUACAUAUAAGUUUGCACAUAAUUUUGGGUUUCAAGACAUUGUGUUGGAAAUAGACGCGCAAGGGACAGUAGAUAAAAUCAAUUCUGACAAAGAGUUUUUUGAAGCAGAAGGAAACUUGGUGGAAGAUUAAAGAUGCGGUUGUAGUUUAGAUCUUUCUCGUGUGAAUGGCAAUGACGUGACAAUAAUGCAGUUGCUCAUGAGCUAGCCCAAUAUGCUAUUAGGAACACUGGUUUUUAUACAUGAAUUGAGGAGGAGCCUCCUUGAUUGAGUUCUUUACUUGCUGCAGAUUUAAAAGCAACUUGUUGAUUUAUGUAUUCAAUGUCAACUGGGAGGCGCUUUUUUUCUUGUGGCGAAUUUUCCUCCUUUUUGGGAGUUUUUUAGGCCAAAUAUUUUUGUACAGAGGCUCAAACUUGUACAUCCCUUUCCUUCUUUUUGUUGUAUUAUGUUGGUUGGUUAUUGAAUGAAGUCCAGUUAUCUCAAUGUAAAGAAAAAAGGGCAAAAAAAGAAAGCAAAGCAAAACCAUAUGCCCACGUGGCAGCAAAAUGUUGUGCUUGUCCAAAUUCUGAAAUCCCACUUCUACCCAUGUUUAAUUGAUCAUUUCUACUGCAUCUGGAUGUCCAGUUGAGUAAUAUCUGAACUCAUAGUGCAUCAUCCACAAGGUCCAAAAGAAACAAAAACCAUUGGCUUUUCUAUCCCAAAGAAAAAAGACCCAUUUGCUUUCACUGAGGAAACCGCCUCUAGUUUUUGGGGACGGACAAAAAAGCACACCGUUUCUAAUCCCCUAUAUAAAGAAGCACUCUUUGCUCAUCUACUUCAUCGGACACUUACACAUUCACAUACCAACUGAAGAGUUCAAAAAAAUCAAAGACAGAAAAAUCUAGUAGAUAAGAGAAGAUAAGAGAAAUCAUAAUCACGAUGAGUUCAUCAAGUGCAAGCAAGGCUAUUGUGGCAGCAAGUGUUGGAGUUGUGGAGGCACUGAAGGACCAAGGGAUCUGCAGAUGGAACUCUGCUUUAAGAUCUGUGCACCAACAAGCCAAAACCCAACUCAGGUCAUUUUCUCAUGCCAACAACAAGCUCUCAUCUUCUUCUGCCUCAGCUGCUUUGGGUAAAGUCAGAGAUGAAAAGCUGAAGAAAUCAGAGGAGUCUUUGAGGACAGUCAUGUACUUGAGCUGCUGGGGUCCCAACUAAUUCAAUCAACACAAAAACAAGAGCAAAAAUAUGACAUUUUUGUGCAAGCGGUUGCUGAAAUGGAGCUUGAGCUUGAACAAGGGAUGAAACAAGAUGACAACCCAUGAAGAGCUCCACCAAAUGAGGACAUAGUUAGAUAUUGGCAAUCGUUUUGUGCUUGUAAAUGGCAGACAAUUCACGUCUGCUUGGGGCAAAUUGAUGUAAAUUAUGUCAUAUUAAGACAAUUACCAUAUAAAACAUGUAUGUUUCUGAGAAUUGCUGCCUCGAUCAUUAUUUUGGUCUCUGUUUUUUUGUGUAUAUAUUUUGCCCAUUGUUUAUUUUGUCAUGAGUAGAAGAUUUAUCAACCCUACAGGUCUGAGUUGAAUUUGUUUAAUUUCAAAACAGUAUAUUUGAAGAAGGAAACGUUUUAUGGAAUUAGAAACAUCCCAAUCUGAAACUAGGACAGAAGAUUAGCCAUGAUGGCUCAGCCAAUACAUCUCAUGCUCUAUUGGAAAGGAAAAUACUUACUUCCCUUCCCUCCUACAGGUAAGGAUACAGCUACAGGUAAGGAUACAGGUAAUGAGUCAAAUGAGGCAAGUAGAAUCCUAUUGGAAAUAUGAAUUUAGAAUAUAAUAAUAUCAAUAUAGUAAUGGAUCUCCAAACCCAACUAUUUUCACCAGUAGUUUCCAAGAAGCAUUCUCCUUCUUAAAUAUUUCUUAACUCAAACCAAUUGGAGUGUCUCCAAAAAAAAAAAAAAAAAAGAAGAAGAAGAUAAUUUCCACUAGAAAACAAACAAAAACAAGUGGUCUUUCCUCCCAUACCUGAGGCUUAAAUGGAUUUUAUGAAGGAAAACCGUGUGCUGUGGUCCUACCCAACCCAAUUUUGUCUCCGUCAAUGAAUGUGACAAAUAGUUGACAGGAAAAAAAAUGAACGUGACCAAGUAGCCCAAUCUUGACUCACCGCUGAGGAAAAACCACUGGCUACCCCAGCAAAAACCUCUACAGCUAGAGCUAGCCCAUGGCUUUUUUUUCCCCACAUUUUAUGGGGCUUAGUUUUAGUGUCACUCUCCCUCCAUAUAAAAGCAACACCAACUCCCCAUUUACUUCAUCAAAAUUCAAACACAUCAAAACAUCAGUUUUACUUCCCAUCAAGUUUAAGAGUGUUCUUAUUAAGUUUACAGAAGAAGAUAUCAAUAUGAGCAGUUCAUCAUCACCAGCAGCAAGGAGAGGUUGGGUGGUGGCAGCAAGUGUUGGAGUUGUGGAGGCCUUGAAAGACCAAGGGAUCUGCAGGUGGAAUUAUACUAUGAGAUUAAUGCAGCAGCAUGCAAAGAGCCAACUUGGGUCUUUUUCUCAGGCUAACAAGCUCUCUUCCUCAUCCUCUGCUCUGGUUUCAAGCAAGCUUAGAGAUGAGAAGGUGAAGCAGUCUGAAGAGUCUCUCAGGAAAGUCAUGUACCUCAGCUGCUGGGGACCCAAUUGAUUUCAGCAACUACAUAAUUUGUAGCUGAAGAACAUGAUCAAUACAAUUUGGCACUGAAGGCAGGCUUGGAUUACAAAUUUUCAAGUUUUGAGGCAUGGGAUGAUGAUAGCUGGAAACAUGUGGUUAAGUUGACCAUGGUUGGUGUAGGAUUUGCAGCCUGAAGAAAUUUUGUUUGUUUACAAAAUUAUUGUAAAUUGUAAAUGUCUGAGUUCUCUAUGAUAUAUACAAUUAGUAUGAAAAUUGAUAUGUCAUCUGAUCAUUAGCCCUAACCAUUAAAAUCUAUAUCAUGUAUGGUCUGUUAAGGAAGGGAAGGGGUUUAAAUCAAAUUUUCUAUGCAGAUCCUACCAUUAUUUAGUACCAACUAGUAAAUAAUUUCGUCCAUAGCCAGAGAAAAUAGCGAAUGCAAUAAUGUACAUAGUUAGUAAAUAAAUCCUGAACUAUUUAAUUUUUAUAAAUAAAUUCAAAAAAUAUUUAAACAAUUAUGUUUUGUCGAGUGUUUUGGGUUUUUUUUUUAUGAGGUUUCGGAUUUGGUUUGUUUUAAGAAACAAAGGCAGUUUUGUAAUUUAUAGUAAGUUCAAAGCUUCUUUGUUAUAUUGUAAAUGGGUUUUCGGUGUGUUUCUAAAAUUCAUUUCAUGUAGUUUUUUUUAAUAGUUUGAGCUCCUAUAUUGGACAUAACAAUGAAUCCCCACCUUUUUUUUUUUUUAAUUAACUGGAAUGAUGACAAAUGCUUUAAAAGCAUAUAUUCUGUGGCCUUAAAAGCAUUAUUAUUUUGAAGAAACAAGGUGCGCACAAUGUCUUGUGUACCCCAGCAGAAAAGUUCAAACCAGAAAAUCCACUGGAUUUCCUUGGCUCAAAACCAGCAGCAACUGACGUAGUAGCCUCUGGUUUUUUCCCAAUAUUUUGGCCUUUUCUUUUUCUCAAUCAUGUAUCCAACUCAAGUCACUUAUUAUUUCCUUUCUAUAUAAAGAGACCCUCCAUGCCAAUUAUUUCAACUCAACCUUUCUCAAAAUUUGUUCUCUUGCAAAAGACCUAUCUUAUCAUAAUUUCAAUACAAAUUAAGGGGCUUACAUCCCAAGAAAAAGGAAAAUCAAGAUGAUGAGUGCAGCAACAGCAAGUAGGGCUUGGGUUGUGGCAGCCACAGUUGGAGUUGUGGAAGUGUUGAAAGACCAAGGGUUGUGCAGAUGGAACUAUCCCAUGAGACUGGUGCACCAGCAAGCCAAGAACCAUCUCAGGUCUUUUUCUCAGGCCAAGAAGCUGUCUUCUUCUUCUUCUGCCAUGGCUUCAAGCAUGAUCAUGAGAGAAGAGAAAAUAAAGCAGUCAGAGGAGUCUAUGAGGAAAGUGAUGUAUCUUAACUCUUGGGGUCCCAACUGACACCAACCAAAUUAAGCUUAGCUUAGCUUAAGGCCAUUGUAAAUUACUUUAAGGCAAAUGCUCUUACAAAUUUGGUAAAAUACAUUGGGCACUUAUGUUUUCCAAAUUCAGUUUUUCUUCUUGCUUGACUAAAGUGUUUAAUUUGGCACAGCUUCUUGGCCUUGGCCUAAUCCGAUCAUAAGAACAACACAACUUUAUUACUAAAUUAUUCACCCAAAGGAAAACUGAAACAAACUUUUCCCCAAAAAUUCUGGGCUGAAAAGAACAAAAUAGCCGCUGGUAUGGCCAAAAACCACAACCCCAGUGAAACCACCUCCACUCUCAUCACCCCCUUAGCUCUCUCUCUCUCUCUGCAUAUUUAUGGCUUCAGUUAGAUAGUCUCGAUGCUUAUAUAUGUCUAUCUCAAUACUCUCUCCAACUUACUGUAACAAAUUCUACUUUGUUCUUUAAAUUACUGGUAGUGGCCAUCAUUCAAAAGUUAAAAAAUGAGGUGGAAGAGCAAGGCUUGGGCUGUUUUGGGCACUGUUGUAGCUGUGGAGGAGUUGAAAGAAAAGAAUCUAAGCAAAUGGAGAUCCCUGCAGAGUUACCAACAUGCACUAAUUAACAACAUUGUGCCACUGUCUACACAAGUGGGAAAAUCUUCAUCUACAUCUUCAACAAUGGAGUCAAAGAAGAAAUAUUGCAAGCAGGGGACUCUGAAUCUGAAGCAAUCAGAAGAACCACUUAGACUAAUUAUGUACUUGAGCUGUUGGGGACCCAACUGAGCUGGAAAGAUAUGCUGCAUGCCCCUCCAUGUUUAUGAAAUCAUUACUAAGCAUUAUGUAUGUUUGUGUGUGUAUUUCAAGAUGUACACAUCCUGAUCUAUAAUCUUAUUAUCAUCAUAUCUUUGUAAGAACUUGUUCUAAAAAAAGAGGAAAUAAAAACUCUAUGCUUUUACUCUUAGGCCGUGUUUGGUGGGUUGAAUUAUAUGACAGAAUAUGAUUCAUAAUCUAGUAAAAUGUUUCCUAGACUAAAAACAAUCGAAUUGAAUUAUGUCCAAUCAAUUACUAUCCUGAAAUUAGAGCAUAUAAUUCAGUAGCUACUGUCAUAUGGUAGUGCUCUAAUCUCCAAGCAAUAAGCUCUUGGGUCCAUCAACUUAUUCUAGACUGUGGAACAAGAUACAAGGAACAGAAAGCAACUUUACGCAAAAGCUGUUUGAUUAUACCAUAGCAAGUUAGCAACUGUUGUUAUUGCCCCCAAAUCAAAUGAAAAAUGGUAUAUGUCAUUGUGUACGAAACAUGAUUUCAUUGAUUUGGGAUAUUGGAAAAGAUGAGAUGCCUUUCACAAGAGGGCCACAUGGGAGCAUCAGUGGUGGGUUUUCUGUGUCGUUAUCUUUCAUGGCACCACCAGAACAUGUUCUAAUGCUCUAAACAUCAUAGCCUAUUUUAAUUAUGAUGGCCUUAUGCCAUGCUCUCCUCUUUAAGCCUUUAUCAGAAUAAAAAUACAAGAAAGAAAAAAGGAAUCAUAAGAAGAUUUGAAAGAGAACUUUGAUUUGGUGCAAGUGUUAUCCGAAGCAAUAGUUCUUCCACCAAUGGGUAGCUAUAUUGUUGCUAUCUGUCAUUUUCUUUUGUUGUAAACCACUAUCAAGCUGUUAAUUAUUGUAAACCACUAAUCUACAGGAAGGGAUCCAGGUGAAAGGGGCGAGCUCACUAUUCUGGCCGACUAACCUAAUUCACGUCGAUUUUGUAGAUCUCUUUUAACGUUGAGAAUAAAAAUAUUAAUAGAUUAAGGGUUAAUUAGUCUAAAAUCCCGUAUUAUGUUUUUUUUUUUUUUUUGGGGGUCAAGAUAUAGUGCCAAUAUUUAGCCCAAAAGUUUCAAACUUGAAGCUCUCCUACCAACUGCCAGCCAACAUCAACAGGGAGAAUGAGUAAAAGUAACCACCGCCAAUUCCGACAAUCCAAAAAGUCCAGAGCGAAAGGUCUCAUUCAGCCGCAUAUGGCAUUGGCUAUCAUAAAGACCUUUCACAACCAGAGACACAACUAAAACACGCAUUGCACCAAAGCCUCAAUCUUUCAGCUUCAGCCUUCAAUUCGCACAAAACAAAAUCUCUCUUUUCACUUUUUUUCCAACUAUCUCCGGCGAAACCCAUUUUCCGGCUGCCACCGUGAAGCGAAUUUCCGGCGGGUGGGUCGAGAAUGGCUGUGGAAGCUGAGAAAUCUGGGCCUGAUGGGAAGCUGUGGAGUCUAUUCAAAAAUCCAUUUGGGCAGUCGAGAAAUGCCUCUUCCUCUUCUUCUUCUUCGUCGUCUUCGACCUUGUCUUCUAUGCACAAUGUUCAUCAGCUGGGUCAGACUCAUGAGUCUGUGGAGCGUGCGGCUCUUCAUUCUGCCAGUACGGUGUCGUAUGUGACCAAGUCUUUGCUUCCUGCUAGGAGGAGGCUCCGUCUUGAUCCUGCUAAUAAGCUCUUUUUUCCAUGUACGCCCCUUACCUUGUCUGCUUUAAUCAUCUUUGUUGUUUGUAUAAUGGUUUUGAUUUUGGUCAUCUAUUUCAUUUUCUGAGAAUUUUGAAGGUAAAGAGUGGAACUUUUGUUUCUUUUGGGGUGAGUAAUUAGUUGCAUGAUGUCUGUUUUUGAGCUUACACUGGUUUCAUUUGCCAAAUGGUUAUCUGGGUCUUCGACAUUUAGUACAUAGAGCUGCAUUCUUUGUUCUUUGAUUUGCUUAAGUUGCAUGAUCUUUUGAUUUCAUGAGUUAAAGACUUACAGUUGUUCCAAUUGUUAUGCUGAUCUGGUCGGUUCUUAUUGGUGUCUCUAUUUCUGAUAUUCUCUUUCUUUAGUUUGUUUCUGUUGCAUGAUGCAUCCAUUUGUCCAGUGUGGAGUGGUUUGAUUGAUCCUAAUAUGGGUUGUUCUUACAUUGUUAGCAUCACCCUGGAUUUCUUAUAAGAUGUUCACUCAGAUAAUAUUUGCUAAUCAUUAGAAAAGUGUAAUGCUUGCUCAAUUCCUUUGCCGAUUGAUGAUUCAAGCUAGUUAUGUUUUUCCUCACUCUCUGACUGUUUUCUCUGAAGAUGAACCUGGUAAGCAGGUGAAGAGUGCCAUUGGAAUUAAAAACACAAGCAAGUCUCAUGUAGCUUUCAAGGUAUCGAUUGACUCCUCGAGUCCCCUUUUUUGUUUUCCCCCUUAUUAAGUAUUUUACUUCUUUUACAUAUCAGAAACUAGUCAUAAACCAGUAUUGUGAUCAAAUUGGGACAACAUUUGAAUUGAAAAUUGGGGAUGACAGCAUUAGGAGUUUUCUGGUGUCAAUUUGAUCUGUUACGCUUAUUUCCCAACAGAACCAUCUAACUGCUUACAUGUUGGUUGUUUUUUUUUUGUUUAGUUCCAAACAACUGCACCAAAGAGUUGUUACAUGCGUCCUCCAGGGGGAAUACUUUCUCCGGGUGAAAGUCUUAUUGCAACUGGUAAUUCAUUCUUCAUGGUCUUCCCUCACGCACUCUUAUAGUCAUUUUUGGGUUAUUUUUCAUUUCCAUUUGCAAUAAAUAACAUGCUAGCUAUUUAGAUUUUAGUGAGUUAUCGUCUGAAAAUUGUAACUUGAUUGACAGUCUUCAAGUUUGUGGAACCUCCGGAGACCAAUGAAAAACUAGUAGACCAGAAGAGCAGGGUUAAGUUCAAGAUCAUGAGCUUGAAAGUGAAAGGAGAUAUGGACUACGUACCAGAACUGGUAUAAUUGCAGAUAUUUUGUAUAACUUCUACCGUAUCUUAAUACAUUGCUUUUCCACGAUAAUAGUUUUUUUUUAUUUUUCUAUGUAAAUGGAACCAAUAACUACUGGACUUUUACAUUCCCUCAAAAUAAGCAGAGAUAUUGUAAGUAGAAUUGAGAUAGCAGAACUGAGGUCAUUUUCUCUGUUAUCUGUAGCCUGCUGUGCCAAUAUAAUUAGUAAGUGAACGUUCAGAUGUCAUGUACUUCAUAGCAAAUGUUUGCAGAAAUUCUAAUUGGAACUUUCCUAUAAUUAGAACAUAUAUCUUCUACUCUGAAUCAGGUUGAUCUUACUAUAAAUCUCAUUGAUUCUUGAAAAGUUAUGUAUAUUUUUGUUUCUAUCACAAAUAGAAACCAGUAUGCAUCAUAAUUCCUAGAUAUUAAACAUUAACUGUUACAUGCAUUUAUGCAGUUUGAUGAGCAGAAGGACCAAGUUGUGGUUGAGCAGGUUUUGCGUGUUGUUUUCCUGGAUCCUGAACGCCCUACCCUUGUAAGUAGAUGGUGGAUACAUCUCUAACCUGUCAUUUUCCUGCCCUCUGCAUACUUUUUUUUAUUGUCUUAAUUUGGCCGCAGCAUUUUCACUUUCAAUUUGAUUUUUGUAAAGGCGAUGGAAAAACUUAAGCGGCAAUUGGCUGAGGCUGAGGCUGCCCUCGAAGCACGAAAGAAGCCUCCAGAAGAAACAGGGCCCCGAAUUGUAGGGGAAGGACUUGUCAUAGAUGAAUGGGUGAGGUGUUUGACAUGUUUUUGUUUCUUUUGAUAGAAUGAUGAUAUUGAGCUUUAUACAUUUCUUACUGUAAACAUUCUUACUUGUGGUAUGUAUGGUUUCCUUUGUAGAAAGAGCGCAGGGAAAGGUACCUAGCCCAGCAGCAGGUUGAAGGUGUUGAUUCGGUGUAGAGUUAUGUUCCUUUUUGUUUAGAUCAUUUCUUUCUCUAGUGUGGAAGUUUCUAUAUAUGAUUGAAUUGUCGCCUAUUCAUGUGUGGAAGACCGUUGAGCAAUCUUAAAGGUAAAUGGAAUGGAAGCAUGUUUCGUUGUGGAUAGAUGUUACAUUUUUGUUUCUUGUUUUGUUUAAUUUUUGCUUUGUCCUUUUUAUGAGAAAAAUUAGUCUGAAGUUCUGCUUCAGGUCUCCUAAUGUACUUGUAGAUAGCAUAAAUGACAAUAGUGAUUUUUUACAGAACUUAUAAUCUCUGUUCUAGCUGGCUGUUUUGGCUCACUUCUCUCUUGAGAUAUCCAACACAAACACCUCUCCAUACGGCUAAUUUACUUACCAUAAGUUUUCUUCAUGAAUUUUGUGUUCUUGUAGAAAUGUUUGAUGCAGUUUGGGUUGUUUUCUCACAUAGAAUGGAAUGGGGUUAUUCAAAGUUUUGAGAAGUUCGAUCGCUUAUCAAAUUUCAUCAGGCAUGCAGUAAUCAGGUUUUUUUAACAUUUGCAACUCCAAUAAUGAGAACUCUGAAGAAGUGGCAAGUUGUCAAAGGAACACGGUGAUAGUACUUAAAUUUCAAUAAUUUAAUUGAAUGGUCAAAUAAUAUCGGAUUGAAGUGAUUUUUUGUAGAAAUGAUCUUUGAAUGAAUAUCUACAAAAUAGACGGUUUGGAUUAGUGAAAUACUAUGCAGAGUGGGUCCUACAAGGGUAUUUCUCACAUAAGCUUAUUUGAAAAAUCCCUCAACGGAAGCUCUAUAUAUAUAUAUAUCCCCCUUUUCUUUGGUGAGUAUUACAAUUAUUUGCUCCAUGGAAGUGAUUAUAUGGAUUAUGGGUAAGUAGGCAGGUACAUAACAACUCUGCUGCCAUGCUGGCUUACACUUUACGGAGCAUGAUCUCUGUGUGUGUUUUGUCUGAAAGGAUCCUGAAUCAGAUUACUACAACUAUUAUUUGGUAUUAUUCAGAGUUGACAGCUUCAAACUGAGUUGAGAUGUCAAGAAUCUUGCUCCAUUUCUUAAUUAUGUAGAAUAAUGGAAACUGGAUUGAGAUCUGAGUAUAAUACUUAUUUUAUGGUCCACUAACAAUAAAUUAACAUGUUAACCAAAACUUAUCCAUCAAAUUAUAUGAAGAUAAAUAUUGGGGAACCUUGGCCAGGGCUUUUUAUACUGUGACAUCCAAUGGAAACACCAUUUCUUGGUAGCAGUAUAUUUGCUUAGCUUUUUGUCUGCACGUCUAUGAUCUUUGAGAUAUAAACAAAGAAAGAGAUUUAUAUUUCAGGCAUAAAGAAUAUGUGUGCAGUUACUCUAAUAAAAAAAUAUUAUAUGAUGUUGUGGAGAAUAAAGAGAAGAUCUUAUCAACUACUUUGUCAAUGCAUUGGAAUACAAGCCAAUGACACUGGAUGGAUACAGCUGCCUGUAAUUAUAAAUUAAUUUCCAACUAGGUCUAGUACAAUAGAAAAAUAACUUUAAUUUGCAUCUUAUAAGUCUUAUGUUCGAAUUCUCGUAACGUUUUAAUUGUAUGUAUAAGAAACCUUUAUUUCCUGUAAUUUAGACUGUAACUUGUAUUUAAAAAAAAAUCUCCAACCAAGUCGUAAUCCCACUUUUAUAAUAUAAUUAAUAAAAGAAUUGGAUAAAUACCUGCCUGUCUGUAAUUUCAAAUUAAAAAAGUAACACUAUCUACGCUCUUUAACCCUUUUUUGGAAGAUCUUUAAGUUCCGAUCCUACUGAAAUUUGUUUAUUAAUUCUUGCUAAAGCGUAAAUUAUGAAACCCACAGAGAAUUAAAAAUCCAUAAUCAGCAUUAGUGGAUUCGAGCCUUACUGUUUUGGUAUGCUGCACAUCGCCAUCUCAGAUUCUCAGUGUAAAAUAAAAUCUAUCACGGAAGUUCAAACAUACGAUACCAUAUGGUUUUUUAAUUUUUGUUUUUAGAUUCUCAUUUUUUUGGCUGAAGUCUGAAAGCGAUUAUUAUAAAAGCACUAUUUCUAUAUGUUCCGUUCCAGCUCUUACCCCCACUCUCUCUCUCUCUGAUAAUGACCCGGGCAUACUAUUAUUGCAACUACAAUUAUUAUGUUCAUGAAAGCUGAUAGGUGGGUGGACCUCUCCCUGUGAAGGCGACCCAUUUGCUAUAGUGAUAAGAAUAAACAAAUAUCCAUUGGCCUAUGGAUAUGAGGCAAGUUUACAUUUUGAUCCCCAAUCAUUGUAUGAAAUCAUCCUGGUUUAUACAAUCCUUGCAAAAACCCUAUAUCCAGCAACAACUUACAUUCUGGAAGAGUUUUUUCAAUGGAUCACAAGGGUUAUGUUCUCUUCAUCCUAAUAUAUGUUCUUAUAUUAUUAUUAAGCUCGUAUGUUAGAUUAGAUUUUGAUUUUAAUCUUUCGAUUUCGUAUAUCAUUCACGUAUAAUGUAUUUACGAAUACCCUUAAAAUAGCAUAUCAACGUGAAUAAUAGGCCUAAAUUAAAACCGUAAUCUAACAUCAAGGUUUUAAAAAGAUGAAAAUUUUAUAUAUUUUGUUAUUGACAAGCUUGGAGGAUGAUAUGAUACCCUAUAUUUUGAAACUUGAGAUGACGAUGCCGUACAAAACUGAAUUGGUAUGCUACAUCAGCGUGAUGUACACCGUACAAGGUACAACAAAAACCGUCUUGGAUUCAUAUGAAGAAAUAUGAAUUAUGGAAAUGUUGUCGGCCUAGUUUCAAUCAAAAGAAUAAAAAGGGUAGCCGUUCGAUUCCGUAAUUGCAUCCAAUCUCAUCCGUCGAAAAUGGUAUAAAGCUAAAUACUAGCUAGAAACAAAACAUAAUUAGUUUAUUAUUCAUUUUAAUUUGUAACGCCGAAGACGAAGGAUAAAUAGAAGAAGAGUCCAGAGCCCGCUGCAGGGGACCCCACAGCAGCACGUGAUGCCCAUGCCUGCCCCACCCGAUGGCGCCAAAACGCAUAAAAGAGGCCCAACCCGCUCACGUGUCCCUCUCCCUCCUCCAUAUCAAAUCAUUUUCCCAUCACUAUCGAAAAGACAAAAUUGCCCCUGAGGCGACAACUUACUAUUAUACGACGAUAAGUCGUGGUAGACGACGACGUGUGGGCAGGCCGGCCCCAUGCUGAAGAGGACAUAUGCGUACUAUUCCGAGAGACAGAGAGAGAGAGAGAGAGAGAGAGGAAUUGGAUCCAUGAUGCUGAGUCAUCUGAUUCUGAUGUCCUCUGAGAAUUCGGAUAAGCUCGACACCUGUUCUUGCUCAUUGGCUCUCCUUCUCUUCGUCUCUCUUUUAUAUCGUUGUUUCUCGCGAUAACUCUAGCCCCGUUUUAUCUAUAAUUUGCAGAAUUAUUGUAAGCAAACUUUCUUUGUCAGUCUCCUAUAAUUAAACAUAUCUCAUUACUACUUUUCUCCUAGUCUUUGUUUUGAGCUACUUUAGUCUAAUUGAAGUUGGAAAUAACAGAUUUGUAAUAUCUCGUCAACAUCAAAGAAAGGGAAAUAUAACAACUAGAAAAUUAAAUAAUUUGUAUCAAUUUUUUGGUCAAUAGAAAGUAGAAUUUUAGAGUUAAAAGAUGUGGUUUUGUUAGAAUGGGAAAUACUAUUAGAUCAAUAAUUAAUUAUUAGUUUUAUUUAUAUAUAAAGUAAAAAACAGAUAAUGAUAAAACAUUCAAAAUACCAAAAAAUACUUUUGAUUAAUGCAAACAUUAAUAAUUAAAAUUAUUAAUUAAAUUAGAAUAAUAUGGUAAAUUCACACUUUUUUAUACUAAAAAAUUAAAAUUAAAAAAAAUCAAAUAAUUGAUCCUUUUUUUAUGGAACACAAUUACCUAUUUUUUUUUAAUUCUAAAAUAAAUUUGAUUUUUUUAAAAAAAGAACCUCUCAUAAACGAGGAAACGUGUGGGAAAAAGUUGAUAUAUAAUUGAGUCAUCACAUUUUAAAACUAAAGGUUAAGAUCAAAUUUAUUUAUCUUGAUUUAAUGAUUCAAUCAUUCACUUAUUUUCUAUUUUAUCAAUUAGAAAUGGAGUCAAAUCAAACUUAAAGAAAAUGUUGAAAAAGUGAAAAGAGACAAAUUCACUGACGUAAUUCAAUUUUGAGUAAAUUCAUUAUCUUAUAAAAGAAAAAACACAUUAUCUACUUACACAAUCAAAUUCUCGAGAAAUUGAGGAGAAAAUCAAAUUGCGGAGUUUGGACACAAUAAAACAUCAAAAUUAUCGAUACCUCCAAUCCAAAGAAUUGAGAAAACGCCAAAAGAAGCUGGGCCUCCACGCCCAGCCAGUCACCACUUAUCUAUCAAAACCAUUUCCGCUCUCUGAAAAACCAGUGGUUUUUCAGCAAACCCGGAUUCAUUUCCUUCCAUCUUUCCCUAUAAAUUAACGCCAUUGUCCCCUUAACUCACUCUUACGGACUUCACAAACACCAAAAACAACAGCAAAAGCAAUUACAACCCUUAAUUUCAAUUUCAGUUCCAGAGUUUCAGAGUCUAGCAAUCGAAGAUGAACCAUUUGAACAGAGUUUGGAUGGCGGCGAGCGUGGUCGUGGUGCAGGGCCCUGCCGACCAGGGGCCUAAGUGGACAUCCGGUCUUAAAUCCUUCCAGCUAAGCAGGAGGAGAUGCUUGGGUGGUGCCGGGGACGCUUCGGAUCUCCGCCCAUUGUCCGGCGCAGUCGGGUCGGGUUUCUCCCAAGUUUGUGAGGAGAGACGGAACCAGGCCGACGAGUCUAUCCAAAAAGUCAUGUACUUGAACUGCUGGGGUCAGGGCUGAGGUCGGCGGCGAUUGGAAUUUUCCGGCGCAGAAUGAUUGGAGUUUUUAACUCGGGAGUUGCCGUUUACUCUCGGAGAGGUGUGGUUGGGUUAAAUUGAAACGGGUAACUCCACGAUUGAGUUGACGCGGAUGGAAUCUUUCUUUGUAAAUUGUACAGAAAAUCUUGAAUUGUGGAGAUUUAGAGGAAAACCAUGAAUAAUAGAUGGGACCUUUUAUUUUCAUCUCUUUCUUUUUAUUUUUAUAUUUAAAUUUCAUGAAAGGAACUUUCAAUUGAUCAACAAAAAAAAUUUACAAAACCCAAGUUCAUGUUACAAAUUAAAAUUUACAUAACUGAAUAAAAUGAAUUGACUAAUAUUAAUUGGUGUUUAAUUUAGUUGUGCAAUUAGGUGGUAAAAGUUUUCACAACAUGUAUAAAUGUUGUUGAUUAACCAGAGUUUUCCAUUUAUUAUAUUGUAAAAUAAUAGUCG
This 60468-nucleotide long non-coding RNA is filed under the name Prunus persica (peach). RNAcentral describes it as "long non-coding RNA (PPER_LNC003842)". The record is from RNAcentral. Lineage: Eukaryota; Viridiplantae; Streptophyta; Magnoliopsida; Rosales; Rosaceae.